UUUUUUUGUGUUUAUGUGCUUUUGCUUUUGUUUUUUAGUUUCUCUUUGUUAGUUAGUUUUAUUUUUAUUUUGUGGAUAUUUUUGGGAUGUUGGGUCAGUGUAAUGUACGCACAUAAAUAAUUUCCAAUGUGUGCAAAAAUUACACUACUAUGCGAUUAUUGUUUGCAUACUAAAAAAGUGCAAUUUAAGAGCGACGUUGUGUGCAAGUUUUGCAAACUUUUUUAGUUAUUUUUAAUGGGUAAUAAUAAUGCUACUAAUUCAUUCUUCCUUAUUUUAGUUCAUUUAUUUAUUUUUGUUUCUUUUUAAAGGGUAAUACUAAUGAAACUAAUUUAUUUUUCCUAUUAUUUUGAUUUUAUUUUAGUUUUAAUUUUAUUGUUUCUUCUUAAAGGGUAAUGCCAGUGAUAAUAAUUCAUUCUUCCUUAGAAAACUUCAUUAUUUUGAUUGUGCUCUAGUUUUUAGUUCAUUUUAUUUUUUUCUUAAAGAGUAAGGCGUAAGCCACUAAUUCAUUCUUUCUUGAAAACUUUUUUAUUUUGGUUUUAUAGUAUUAUUUUAUUUCUUUUAUUCUUUAAUGAAAAUACCAAUGUCGCAAAUUCAUUUCUUCUCAGGAAACUUCCUUUUUAUGAAAAUUACACUUUUAUGUUAUUAUUUCUGCAUAUUAUAAAAAUGAGCAACGUCUAUGCAAAUUGUUUGCAAAAUAUUUCAUUAUUUGUUUUAUUAUUUUCAAUUACUUUCUUCUUAACGGGAACCAAUGACACUAACUCAUUGUUUCUUAGAAAACUUCGCUAUUUUAAAAUUUUUUUAAGUUUUUAUUUAAUUUUCUUUAUUCUUUAAGGGUAAUACCAAUACAUCUAAUUCAUUCCUACGUAGGAAACUUUUUUUAGUGAAAUUUCACUAUUGGUGCUUAUUCUUGCAUAUUAUAAAAAAGCGCAAUUUCUAUUCCAACCGUGUGCAAAUUUUGUCAUUAUUGUUUUUUUACUUUUUUUGUCUUCUUAAACGAUAAUCAUGAAAUCACUAAUUCAUUAUUUUGAUCCGGAGAAGUAGAGACAUCAUGGAUCAAAUAGAAAUUCCACCAAUUUAUUCUUUCUUUAGAAAAAAUUCUUUUUGCGAAAAAAGUCACUAUUAUGUGUUUAUUCUUGCGUAUAAUAAUAAAGCGCAAUUUAUAUGCAGAUUGUGUGCAGAUUUUGUCAUUAUUUUGUUUUAGUUUUUUAUAUCAUUGUCUUUCCUAUUAAAGGGUAUUUUUGCUUCAUUUUUUAUUUAUGUUUUCUGUUUCUAUGGUUUUUCUUUUUCCCUUUUUCUUUCCUUUAUUGGUUAUUUUUGUUUUUAGUGGGUUUUUGGCUGAGUGUUAUUAUAUACAAACAAAUACUAUAUAAUAUGUGCCAAAAUUUCAUGAUUAUAUGAUUAUUUUUUCAUUUUACGAUAAAGUGCAAUUUCGGUGCAAAGUUGCGCAAGUGUUUUUAGUUCUCUUUCUUUUAAAAGGAAAUAAAUUAUUUCAGUUACAUUCUGUGGAAAUUAUAGUAGAAUGCAAAAAAUGCACUAUUAUAUGCUUCUUCUUUGCAUAUUUCAAAAAGUGUAAUAUCAGUGCAAAUUGUGUGCAAGUUUUCAAAGUUUUUUCUUUUUCAUUUUCUUUCUUCCUAAAGGGCCCAUUCUUUCUUAGCAAACUUCACUAUUUUGAUUUUGUUUUAGUUUGUUUUUCUGAAAAUGUAAUACCAAUGCCACAAGUUUUUUAUUGUGUUUGUUCAUUCAUUCUAGUCUGUACGUAGUCCCUAUAGUUCAUAAGUAUAUAUGUAUGCAUGAAUGGUCUGUACGCAUGCACCCAUAACUUAAUAAUUCAAUUUGAGUAAAGCAUGGAAAAGGUAAAGAAAAAAAAAAGAGUGUUAACAUAAUGAAGCAUGCACCUUAUGGUUAGAGACACGCUUGACUGAAACUUGUUUGGGUCAGUCGACUGGCCCAAAUCUUUUUCAGUCAGUUGACUUGUAGCCGGUCCCAAAUCCACAAGCCGAACAACAACAAUCAAGAAAAAGGAACAAAAACGAAAACCUGAGGCCGCAAGCCUUGCGACAGUAACUUUAUCAGAAAAGCACAAACACACCGAGGAAAAACAAACUCAAAACGGAGGGCCCGGCCGCCGCCGAUGUCAGGUGGGUUUUGCCCCGCGGCGCUUGCUAGCGGCGGCGGGGGGAGGGAGGGUUGGGGAGGAGGAGGUUGCCCAGCGGCUAGGGUUCACCCGGGUCACCCGCUAGGAGGCGGCACGGGCAUCCAGAUGUGAUGUGUGCCUUUUCUUCGAAUACCAAAUGGAUCGCUGAAUACACCAUGAGUUAUAUUUUCAUGUUGUAUAUGUUUGAUAUUGUAGAUAUUCAUAAUUUUCUCUAUAAGCGGUCAAGGUUUGCUAACUUUGACUUUCGAGAAAAAUCUAUAUGCACUACAUUUUGGAACAGAGAAAGUAAUAGAAAUCAAAGAAAAGAUGGCCGAAAAAGAAAUGUUAGAUGUGGCGUGAAAAAGGCGUUUUUGAAUCCACAAAAUGUAUUCCGUCGACUUAUCAUCUGCCUUGGUUGCUGAGAAUUUUGCGGUGAAUCCAUUAAACUGAAAGGAGGGAGUAGUUUCCAUCAAGAAACCAUAAGAUAAAAAAAAAGGUGCCAAAUUAGCAGCAAGUUGCGAUGAAUCCAUUGAACUGCCUCCGCAGGCGAGGUACUGGAGAGAGCUCCGCCACUGCCUGACACAAAUACUGGAUCAGCUGUAAAUGAAGAGUACAAGAACCAAUGUUUUGCUAACUCCAUGAGUUCCAACUUCCAAGGGGAUGUUCAAAUUAAAUUCCUCACAGCAACUGAUUGACACAUCAAAAAUUUCAUAAUUCACUACAGACCGAUAAAAUUUAGAAAGAUACAACGUGGGCUGCUCAAGAACACAACACAAAAAUUCCAUAAUUCAUUACAGACCGAUACAGAAAAGUUUUGCCCGCAAAGAUACAUCACACUGGUCUCAUAUCUCCUCCAAUGUUCAGCAGCCGCCUUGCAGUCUCAGUUCUGCAUUGGUGCAAUUGUUCCUCGGCUGACCCAUGACGCCACAGGCCUUCAAGACUGUUUCGGAACAUCCCCACGAUCCGCACUGGUUCUCCUCUUGCGGCCCUGCAAAUGCACAAAUUGUGCAGUCUGGCCAGCUUACUCAAACCUUCAUAUGGCACCUCCUUUGCUUGUUGUAGGCCACCCCGUAGCAAUAAUCGUAUAAGAGCCGGGCACUCACAACGGCAUGACCUCAGGGAUGUUCCUGAGAUUUUGGGGGCCCGGGGCGAAACCAGGGCCGGUCCUGAAAUUUCAGAACGUAGAAUCCGGGGCCCUUAAUGUGCAGAAAAAUCAUGAGUGAAGGGAUAUGUCCAAGGGUGAUAUCUAUGGUUUUGAGGUGUCCUUGUUACCAAUGAUAACCCUAGUAGUCAUAUUAUCGUCGGGGCAAGCGGUGUCCUCACAAGCCAUCAUGAAUUUGUUGGUAGAGCAUUUCCAAAUAAUAUAUGAGGUAUUGAUCCUACAUUGUUGCAAAAUCAUAGCAAUGCAACUGAAUCAACUAUACGGUCUCAGAUGUAUUACCCUCCGUCCGGAAGUACUUACCCCAAAAAAUGGUAAAAAUGGAUGUAUCUAGAACUAAAAUAUGUCUAAAUACAUUCAUUUUCCCGACAAGCACUCCCUCAUUUCCAAAAUAAGUGUUCUAACCUUAGUAUAACUUAUGCAAAACAUGGUUAAAAUCCAAGUUAAAUUCAUGUUUUGGAAUUCUAAGAACUCUACAGAAAUAUGGUAUGUUUGGAAGUGACUUCAGAGUUCAGACACAGGUUGUACAAGUCAAGAUGGAAACGACGAUGGACGACUCGUGGAUAAACAGUAAUGGAGGCACUAGCAGCCAUGUUGCAUCUUUCUUCACCAGGUUCCCCUAAGAAGGUGUAGUCAUAUACAGUAUAGUCGUGCUUCAGACAUGUAGUAAAAGCUAGUACUAGUACUACAAUUAUACUGCUGAUUUUAUUUGCAACAACACCAAGGCAAGGCAGAUGUGAUGACGAGAGAAGCUAGCUGGGGUAGGGGACAGUUGGCGGUGGUGGUAUUGAAGGUUUCAAUGUAUUCUCCCUCUGCACAGGUCAGUUGCCGACAUUUCCAAAUUAAGCUAAGCUCACGCAAGUAGCCCCAAAACGGCAAUACCGUUUAGGGUUUAGGAUGCCGUGCAGUUGCAGACCCGAAUUUUUGGGACAGCGCCAAAUGCUCUACUACAAGUGUUCAUAUAUAUAUACAAAUAAAAUGGCACGACGUUUCAAGUGCUCAGUGCGUGUAUGUGUGUUGUAUCCCCUGCCGACAUAACUAGGUUCGUAGUAUUCAGUAUGGUUACUUUCAGUUUCAGUUGUUGAAGGCAUUGCAGACACUAAUCAAGUGUAACUAAUACCUUCUUGAUAUUAAAUAAUUAUAUUAAUAAUUUUUCAUCAAAAAUAAACUAAUAGACAGAAUAUUUCUGCUCGUAGCUAGACAGCUAAGACAGGGCCAGGUGCCAUGCUCGCUUGGUGGGCCCCAUCCACGUCACCUGGUCGGUUUGCCAAUCUCACCGACCACAUACUGACCAUGCUCCACUUCACUAGUACUUAACUAAUUACUGCUACUACUAUAUAUACUUACUUAGCCAGAGCCGAGGGAGAGAUUAGCGCGAUAGCUCUUUCAUAAUCUAUUGAGAUAGCUCUUUCAUAGACCUAGCUAGUUGUAUUCCUCAUGGAUGGUGCUACUUACAGUGUAGUGCAGGGUAGGUUACUUGACGGCGGGUGUUUGCGGGCGCGGCAUCAUCAAGAUUCACAUCCAUCCCAUCCACGCAUCCUUCGGUUCGUUUCCAAAACGAAACGAUCGACAAUGCGUUGGAUGGAUAUAUAUAGAUGUGCAUGAGAAUCUUGAUGAUGCUGCGGCGGCACACAAGCGCCUUGGCCUUGGCAGGCAUUGCCUUCUUCAUCUUCUUCAUGUAUGACAUGAUCAGGUGAGACAUCUAUCAUCCCGUCCAUACGUCUCCUGCCAUAUCUAUGGCAGUCUACUCUAGCUCUGAUUCACUCUGUUUGUUUCUAUUCUAUACCACUUACCGCCCUUCUAAAUAUGCUUAUGCACUUUCCGCUGCUGGUCGAUUUCGUACCAUCUCGUAUAAUAUGGUCCCACUUUAUAUAUAGAUAGAAAGAUAAAAUUUGUGAUGUGUAUAAUGUACUGGACAGGCGGCAUUGGUGAAGCGGAAUGUCAGUACCUUGGGAGCUUCUCCGUGAGACCGCCACGCUCCAUCUUGGCAAGGCAAGCAUUUUCUCCUUACUCUGAGCCUACCGUGCCGGCUUGGCGGACCAGAGGAGUCCCAAGUUCCCAAUUGUACUGCUUCAUUUGUUGCUACUCUUCCAGUCCACAUCGUGUUUGGGCAUACUGCUCGAAGUUUCCCGUGUGGUACAGCUUAAGCUUCUUGUUCUGCGUAUGGAUAAUGUUCAUACAUACUCCGUUCAGAAAGUCCUGCCAGUGUGAUGUCACAGCAAGUAUACGCUCCAAUUUCUUCAGUGUUUCUUCCAACCGCACACACAUGCCUCGAGAUCUGCAAACGUAGCCAAAAAAUUGCAAGCGGUAUUAGUUCACAAAAGCAUUGUUGUUGUUGUUGUUUUUUGCUUCACAAAUUGUUUACCGGGGGUACUGUAUCUCAGUCAGCGUCAACUCAAACAUGUCUCGGUUCAGAGAAAACAGACGACGCAUAGCAAGAAAGCAAUAAUCAUGCUACUUUAUUUACAAAAGUUCCCCAGAAUGAUAAAAAAAAUAUUUACCUCAGUGGAAGAUGAGAACAUGAAGGGAUAAAAAUAAAUACUUAUCUCAGUGGAAGAUGAGAACAUGAAAAAGGCCCUUCAGUCGAAACAAAGAAACCUGCCAACACUAACUGCCAAUCAGCACAAGUAAAUCUUGGACAAAUCCAGUCGACCAGAGAUAGAAGCAUGGCAUGGAAUUAAGUUCCACCCUACCAGUUCACCACCACCCAACAAAUUCAGGAAUUCAAACCCAAAUGUGUCGAGAUAUGCAUCGUCAAAACCUGUAACAAACUACAUUCAUGGUGAUAUAUUUGGACCGAAGCCGAAGCAAUGAGCCAAUGACUUUCUCCAUCUUAUGCCAAGUUACAUACGGGGUAGAACCAAACAUUUGCUUACAUAUUUGGAGUAAACACACAGAGAUUGCGUGUGUACAUUGCUGGCAAGAUUACAUUUCCAAUCCAUAUCAUUCAGUCAGAUGUGCUGUUAAGGUGAACCCAACAAGUUCAGAAAACAAAUACAUAUGCAUACUUCUCGCAAUGAUGAUUUCAGAACUGGAACAGGUUACUUUCCAUCAAGAAACCAGAACAGAAAAAGGUACCAAAGUACCAGCAGGCUGCAUGAUGUUCAGAUGGCCAAAGCAAUGACUUUCUCCCUCUAAUGUGAAGUUAUUAUAUAUAGGUGUAGACAGAACCAAACAUUUACUUACAUAUAUGGAUUAAACACAGAUUGGUGCACACUGCUGGCAAGAUUACAUUCUAAUCGACAUUCACAUGUGCUGUUGAGGUGAACCCAACAAGUUCAUCAUGGCUUGAUCAGAUGUAUGAUAGAAAGUUAUCUACUUUACAAAAGACACAAUGAUUCACAGGGUACGUACAGCAGAGCAGAAUGUAUGUAUGGUUUCUCCAAGCUUCAUAUGCUGAGCGCCUGGCAGCUAACAAGUUCGGCAGCCGCAAAUUUCUUUGAGCCCACCAUUCUCCAAACAUCAUUGCCUUGCUCCAAAGGCCAAGAGACAUCGGGGUUUUGGCAUGUCGAGCCAGUUGCAUCCAUAGGCUUUAGAGCGUCCGUUUGCAGGAUGCUGAUCAUGUUGUUCAUAUCUUUGAUGACCAAAUGGAGCUUCCCAAGAAACCCCGCAAGCAAGUACGGACAUUUUGACUCCGCAAAGUCACCAACAGGCACCUGGCCAACAACAGCCUUCCAUGUAUCUUCCUUCGGAUCAUACGUCUUUAUCUUGCCUCCAUCAGAACAAGUCGGUGGCUCCAGAGCAUAUAGGUCCCCAUUCACAACAGCACUUAAUUUUGUCCCUGCUUGCCUCCCAGGCCAACCCUCGCUCAGGCCUACAGGCAUCUCUGACCAUGAGUCCGUCGCGGGAUCAAACACCUCCCCACCAACAUCAACAAAGAACGGCCAGGAAUACAAGCUCUGAGGCACAUACAGCUUGCCUCCAAACGAGACUAUUCCUGUAGCAACCGGCUUCAGUAAGUCGGCCAGGAAUGCAGUCGGCAGAGUUUGUGCUUUGGAGAAGGGCAUGUUUGGCACAUCUGCCCAGAUUCCUGUGGCCGGGUCAAACACUUCAGCAGAUUGAAGCGGAGCCAAUCCAGUUUCUUCCCUAAUGACACCGCCGACAACGUACAGCUUGUUGUUCAACAGGCCAGUCCUGCCAAACGCUCGUGCGGUGCUCAUCGAGCUUACUUCCUGCCACAGAUUUACAGCUGGAUCAUACUUCCACACACUUUUGAUCGCUGUGGCUCUGGAGAACCCGCCCAAAACAUAGAGGCAUCCAUCGAUCGUUCCAACGGCACAAGCACAAAAGGGAAUCUUGUCCAACCAAUCCUCCUGGCGAAGCAAGCCUCUAAUAGCACCAGAGAUCCUAAUCCCAGCGCUCACCAAACCGCCUAAACGGCUCCCCCCACGAGCAACCCCGGGCAUGAGCGGCAGCCUCUGCCACCGGCUGCAAAGCGGAUCAAAAGCAUGCCACGACAGCUUGCCAUCGGCCGCCUUGGUGAGUAUGUAAAUCCAUUCCUCAUCCACGCCAAGCUCCUUCCUCACCCGGUACAGCUCCACACCUGUGAUGGCGGCCUUCCAGCUCCGUGAAACCAUCUUGCUGCUAAGAUACCGCACCCUUGGCAUCCUCGCGAGGAUUUGCAGGGAGAUCUCGUCCGGGAGGUCAGGAAUCAGCCUCGGGUGGUAAUGACCGUGGCGUAGCUUCUUCGAGGAACCUGGCUUCGACGCUUCCCCGUGCUCCAAGGUUUGCUUCCCGUUGUUGGGGAAGCUGAGAGACGCCCCCAUUGCUUCCAACUUCUUGUAUCUACAAAAAGGCCCAAAAGAAAAGCCAAAUAUCAGUGUGGUGUUCACUUUUUUUUUUCGAACCGGGCUUUUGCCCUUUCCAUUACUUUCAUAACGGAAAUACAAUGUCUCAGGAACUGAAACAUGUGGUGUUCACUUAUAGGCAGCUCCAUGUCUACCUUGUAAAUUUGUACUCCAUCUCUGAAUUCUGAUGGUGGACAACAAUUCAAUCAAACUUGCAAAGGGAACUAGAAUUUUUACUACUUGAGCAGAUGUAAGUUUCGACCAUCUUAGCAUGCGAGAGACCAUGGGGAUCUUGGGGAGGAACCAAGCAGGAGUGGCUAUUGUUCUAUCACAUUCACAGCUAGCUAAGAGUCAAGGAAACAGCCGAAUCCCCUAACUGCAAGAAAACAUCGCCCUAACGAGGAAUCGGCCACGGUUAGUUCCUUUAACUUGACAACAAGAUUAACACGCAAGAGAUUCGUCAUUCCAACAACCAAAACGGGCUCAAAUUCAUGCCGUACGACAGAAAGACUGAAUAAAAAUACACUGGUCCCGCCCCGCGCAUACAGUUUUACCUGGCUGUUUACUGCUGCUGCGCUGCAGGGGCGCCGCCGGUGGAGAGGGAGAGGCCGAGGCCGAGGACGGCGUGGGCCUUGAGGUGGGCUUGCGGCCUGGUGAGGUCGCCGAGGCGGUAGUCCUCCGCGGCGGCGAGGCUAGGGUUCGGGGAGACGGCGGGGAUGGGGCGGUGGGGAGGAGCGGGUAGGGGGGAGGCCGCGGGAGAAGAGAGGAGGAGGAGGCGGGCGGGGGCGCAGCUUCGGGGCUGGAGCAUGGCGGCGCGACGGCGACGGCGCCGGCGGCGAGCGCGGAGGAGUCGUGUGGGAGUUGCGUGGCUCUGCUUCGACCUCGAUGGUGACCAAGUAACCGUCGACUUAUUUACUUAUCUAUUAGUACUACUAUUUUGGGAGCUUUUUCUCCCUUUCUCUUUCUUUCUUCAUUACUAUUAUUCUCCUUCCAAUAAAAUAAAAUGUUUCUUCCCUUUUCCAUGUUAAGCGAAACGGCAACCAUGUAAAUUCUAUAAGGAAAUGUCCCUCCCGUCAAAUCUCACGCCAGAUAGGGGUUCAGCUCGGAUCGGCCUCCCAGCCCGUGAAGAUAGAGGUUGGGGGAGAAGAUUUACCGCGCCCCGUAAAAAAAUUUGCAGGCCGGGGCGGAAUGCGGGGUCUGAUCGGGCUGCUUUUUCGGUCCCGACCCGCAAUUUGACGGUUAUUUUGCGGGCCGGGCGGGAUGCGGUGGGUGCUAGAGUUGCUUUUAGGACGGUUUUGUUUGGGAAAAGGGGGAAGACGGCGUGAGAAGCUUCAGCCCUCUGAUGAUUGAGAUGGCCAUGCACGCACACCCUAUUUCUGUGAAACAUCCAACCGAUCCGAGUCGGUGAACAUUGGGAUUGUACCGUAGGCUAGAACGAGUCCAGAAAAAGACUUGAAGAGCUUCAUGACAGAAAGCCUAAUAAGCAACUAAAGAUGUAAAAGAAACGCUUUUGUAUUCUGGGACCGUGGGAGUAGCUAGUUGACGUGAAAAUACGAAUUAGCGGUCUUAGGGCGAUUUUGUUGUUUGGGGAACGGGGAAGAUGGCGGCACCCCGGCCCUUUGAUGAUUGAGAUGGUCAUGUACGCUCAGAGCAUUUCUAGCAGACCCGCAUGACCUCAGUCUGACUGUUGGAAUCCUUCGUCGGGAUUCAUCACCGCAUGCUGGAAAAGGCCGCUAGAUACCGCAAUCGAUCGCUGCCGGUUUGAAUUGGAUAAGCUCGAAGGCGAUCGCUGCCGGUUUGAAUUGGAGGUUUGAAUUGGAUAAGCUCGAAGGCGACGGGGCGUGGCCGGCUAAGGGAAGGGGCGGCAGCAGCUGGACUGGAGGAAAGAGCUCUUUAUCCCAAUUUUCCAGUUUAUUUUAGAGUAUCUAAUCUACCGUAGAUAAAAUGAACCCUUAAAAUACAAUUUUUUUUAUUUUUUACUCGUAUCUCAGUUUUACAGUUCGCGAUUUUAAGGGGUAUGUUAGAGAUGCUCUCAUCCAUGUCGGCAAAUCUUGAAAUGAAAUGUAUCUAGAUGUAUAGAUGUAUUUUUGUUGUAGAUACAUCCAUUUUUGUGACAAGUAAUUCCAAACGGAGGGAGUACCUACUAUGUGCAGUAGGCAUCUCAAGGUGUUCAGACUCCAAUGUGUAAACCCGAAGAAAAGAAGGAAAUAUUCAUCAAUGGCCGCCACCACCACCUGACCUGUUCCUUCAACUCAGAGAAAUGGCAUUCUCGAAUCAGCUCAAAAGGAGGCGGGUAACCAAAUCAUUUAACGGUAGAGCACGUUCAUGUCCUGUUUUAACCUCAAACACUUCUUCCAUGUCUUCAGCCUUUAGGGCUAGAUAAGCGUCGCACCGGUUCUCGCGGCGGCGACGAUAUGCAGGAUAACAAUAAAGAUAGCAUGUUCCACGGCACAUCCCUAAAAAUUUAACUCCGCUACAAAAUUCAGUCUAGAGAAAGUUCAAAAUCACGAAGACGACGACGACAGACAGACACAAACACGAUGAAACAAACACGGCAGGCAGAAACACGGCUUCUGGUGGGCGGGACGGUUUCCGGCUCUCUACUCCUCCUUGAUGGCGCCCUUGUCGCUGACGUAGAUGCCGUCCAAGAACUUCCUGAUAUCCUUGUUCUUGACAUGGCAUUUCUGCAGAAAAGCAAGAAAAGGAACACUAGUGUUAGUGGUAAUGAAUAGAGGACUGAAAGCAACUGGAAACUGCAAUGCACGGCAGAUAUAUGUUGUGCAAGUGAGAUGAAUAGAUCACUGCAAACAGAUGUGGAACAGCAAUGCAUGUCUCAGCAACCGUCCAAGAUGAAAAUUGCUUGAAUAAUUCAAGUGGAACAGACCUAAUGCACUGCUACAGGAACCAAAAUGGAAGGGAAACCAACCAUUGUUGCACAUAUGAAAGAACCUGUUAACAAGUCAUUUUGGUUACUAUGAUACCAUGAAACAACCGGUAAAAACGAAACCCUAACGGAUGAACUGGGUCAAUAAGCACAUGUCAGACCCAGGUUAGUCCAUUUCCACCAUGUUUAUACAAAAAUCAAACAGAUGAUACAUCUGGCUAUAAAUUUUCUGCUGCUACUGGAUGCAUAGCGUCUGGGCAGAUUAUCGUAAUUCCUACUUCACAUCAUUAAGAACACAUGAGCUUGCAUGAUAUAACUACAAACAGCCUAAUAACACUAGAAACUCCACAAGAUGGCCGCUGCGAAUAGAAAUGGCCAAUAAUGGGAUGGGCAGCACAGGUAACCCUGUUUGCAACAAGCUGGACAGCACAAGCAGACAUUUGCACUCACAGUAAACAGAGGGCACAGUGUCACUCACAAGCAAUAAACCACAAUGAUUCCUAAGCACAUCUAUCUAUCAUACUAGUUUCCCCCAAUGAUCCAUGAUCCACAACUCUGACGCGAGUUUGUUUUCAGAUCAACCAAAUUAUUCAGGCAGCAUCAUUAUGCACAUGAGCAAAGAAAGAAAGGGGCCGGAUCCUGUUUGAUUGAUUGAUUGAUUCACCUGGUUGAUGAGGGCGGCGGAGCGGGAGACGAGCUCGAUGUCGUUGCCGUCGAGGACGAUCUCGUCCUUGACCUUCUCGGACCGCAGGAUGGUGACCCCGUCGAGCAUGUCCACCUUCCUCACCUGCAACCCAAAUCAUCACAUCAGAAACACACCCAAUCAUCUCGACGGAAAAGCGAGAUCUGCGCGUCGAAUCCGCGACAGAGUGGGGUAAAAGAAAAGCGGCGGCUACCUUCUUCUCGCCGAGGAAGUUCCUGAUCUCGAUGCCGCGGUUGGCGGCGGUGAUGGAGGCGUUGAUGGGGAAGUGAGCAUACACGAAGCGCAUCUUGUAGCGGAAGCCCUUGGUGACCCCCGUGAUGAGGUUCUGGACGUGGGAGAUGGCGGUGCGGAUGGCGGCCAUGGUCUUGCGGGUGCCGAACCAGGCGUCCACCUUGAGCCUCCGCCCGCCCUCCUGCAGCUGGAAGUCGAGGUUGAGGUGCUUGAAGUUGCGGGUCAGCGUGCCCCGGGGACCCGUCACCGAGAUCAUCUUCGCCGACACCUUCACCGUCACCUCCUCCGGGAUCUCCAUCGUCUCCGACGCCAGGAUCGUCUUCAUCUUCGCCGGCCGGUGAUGGGUGCUGGGGGCUGGUUGCUUGGCGGCGGCGGCGGCGGCGGGGGAGGGGGCGAGGGUUUGGGGAGAGAGGGUGGGGUGGGGGGACUGAGGGUCACGUGUUUAUAGCCUGGGCUCUCGCUUCGGUUGCUGGGCCGGGCUUCUCUCGGCUCUCGGCUGGGCUGCACACGGCAGCACCACGGCCUUCUGAAAGAGCCCUAAAAAAAGUUCUUCCCCUGAAAAAGGCCCUCAGUACUUUUCAUUUUGUUUUUUUUGAAAGCGAAAGUUUUUACAGAAGUACAGACGAUCCUCCGUGAACAAAGAGUUACAUCCAGGAUUUCUGAAGCCGUCGUCGUCUCGUGUUCAUCAUUUUGUAACUACUCAUGUGCCGAGGCUUCCUCGGAUGAGACUUUCUCGGAUGAGAUUGAGAGUGCAACCAUGCUCUCCUGAUAUGAUAUGGUAUGAUCAUGGUAUUUGUAAUUCUAUGAAAAGGUCAAAAUGUAGGUACGAAAGAAAUAAAUAAACAAACUUGGGUAAAUUUUGCUCAACUCAUAGAUGAUCAAAACUUUCCAAAUUCCACAUGCGUCUGUGGUCAUGUGUCCACCACACAUAUGUUUAUUAUCCACUUUAAAUAAAUAUAUAGAGAUGAAUAACAAAACUGACCAUGAUGAAAAUUUAACUGACCAUGGUUAUUAGCAAACUUAGCUGACCAUGGUUUAUUAUCCACACAUGUUUAUAGGAAACUUAACUGACCAUUGCUAAAAACAACUUGAUUAAUCAUCCAAGUAAAACCAUGAUGAAUAACAAAAAAAAUAACUCCGUUGGUCAGAAACCAGAGCUUCAGAACACCCCCAGACUUUUAGCCGAUCAUGUGCGCAGCAGACCACCCAAAAAAAUGGGGUUCUCAUAUCUGAAUCUGGACAUAUAUCGAGCAUAUGUCAUUCGGUGGAAGCAACACAGGAUGCAGAGAAAAUGGUGAGUGACCGAGCAGAUUAUGGACAAUUUCGAAAAUCGCAAGUAGCGACCAGUAAGAAAAGAAAAAAAGUUUAUGCGACUAACAUGUGUCGUUGGAUGAUUUAUCUAUCUGCACAAUCGGCUUCAGUAAGCCCAAGGUAAUCAAUUCCGACUGAAGCAGCACGAUGAUCUGAUCUAUCUUUACAGGAUCUGUAACUACUUCAGGUCUUGCAUAUGAAACUUCCAAGCCUUACGAAACAGACUAACUUCGGGAACGCAUCCAAGCUGUUCGGUACCAAACCGUCGGUUCCACUCAAAAGACUAGAGUAAAAUGAACCAUCACCGGUCGUGGAUUCAGGCUGAAAGUAAACCAUUUAUAAAAAAACCUAUCAACAAUUACGUGCAAGAGAAAGCAAAGCAAAGCAUCUCAAAGAUAUCGAUGUUUGUCUGUUAUAAUAAGGCCCUAAAUCUAAAUGGUACCGUCGACGACACAUCAGGCUUCACAUCAUCAUCAUCAUUGCCCAGGCCUGGUGGUGUCUGAGGGGGCCUUGGUCCCUCUUUCGUGCCUUCGGUAGAGCGCUGCACAAGGAGAAGGCUGCUGAUUAGCAACAGUGUUGGGUGGAAAACACAGCACUGGUAGAACAAGGGAGCAUCAGCAGCUACCUGGUAGCCAGUGUUGCUGGUGGUCGCCGUCUGUACCGGAUUCAGCAAUGGAACCAAGGAUAGUUGAGGUAAUAAUAGCACUGCUGUUGCCAGGGCCACAAGAGGGCACCCUGGAUAAAUUUUGAUUCCGGGGAGGAGGGAAUGCAUGGCAGGUUUCAUCUGCUUCCCAGGGGGAUGGAUUUGACACCUUUGGCUGGUUGCUUGUUUGCUGGCGAGCAAUCAAGGAAGCAAUGGCAGCAUCGAAUGAAUCGCACGUGGCAGGAAUCUGCUGCUGGAAAAUCGAGCUGUUUUGCAAAGGCGGUUGCUUGCUGUCUUGAGAGGGCACAGCCUGCGAUAGCAGUGCUCCAAAACUGAUAUUGGAUAUGCUGUCAAUCCAUGAAAGCGGUGUCGCUUUGCUUUGGUUGUUAUCCUAAUUUUGGAAACAUACAAAGAAAUUCAGAUCAAGUUUCCAGUACAAAUAAAAUCAUUAUUGCAAGAAGCACAUGAAAUUUACUCACCACCACGGUCUUCUCUGUGUUACACUCAACGGAUGGACUGGCAAAUUUACUUGGAAACUCAAAAGGAUGUGAAGGUUUGUCGCCCAAAGUCUUUUCUGCAGAGUGCACUGGUGCCAAGGAAGCUUCACUGGUUUGUUGCUUCAAAUUAGGCUUGAACCAACCAUACCUAAAGUAAACAAAUGAUAAUUAUCUGAAUUUUCUCGUAUUCCCUUGAUUUUCAUAGAAUCUUCUAAAACUUAACCAUCGUUGCUAAUUUCUUCUAUGAAAUGUUGUUAAUAAAUACAAAAUCAUGAUAAUCUGAAAGUACCUUAAAUUAAUCUAGUGGGCAUUAAAAAAAGAGCCAUUCAUAUAUGUAGAUCACAAUAAAGGUAACCAUUUCUGGGUAAGAAAUUGAACCUUAAACGGAAUGUUGAAGGGCUGCCAACAGCAACAUAAACAUCAGCAGCAGUGCAAGAAUCAUUAAGGGUCCAUUUUUUACUGCUGGCUAUGCUAUCCGGUCUAGCACUGUAUGGGAAGAGCAUGAGGUCGCCUUUUGCACAACUAGAACGGCCCCAUUUUGUGUUCAGAUGUUGCACAAUUGAGGACAUCUUCUUUCGCGGAGCCAAAGUCAACUCCAGGUAAGGAUUGUGUUUCUCCUGUUACAUAAUGGAGGGAUAAACCAAAAGAAGGCAAGAAACGUCAGCUUGAAAGAACAUCAUAUGCAGUAAUUAUAUGCAUCUCUCUUGCAAAAAAUGAGAUAAUCACCUGCUGUAGAACCUUUUGAAUCGCCUCAUCUAUUGGAAAAAACUGAAGCUUCAUUUUUCCAGAAUAAUUUGGCGGUUGAGCAGACACGUUUGUCAAGUUGAGAAAUGGUACUUCCAUAGAGCUACCACUCUUCAAUGCAAUCUUACUGCCAGUAAAUGAUUGACCAUCUCCUGUUCUGCAUUUAGCCCCAACAUUGCCUGAAAAUUAAUAUGGUUAUUAAGAACCUGAAAGGACAUAUGGUCGUUACAGUUCAAAAAUAUAGCUCCUAACAAGCAUUUAUUUUUCUACUUCAGUUGUUGAUUCACCUGAUAUGAAGUUCAGUACAAAUGCAGUACUAAAAGAAAUUAAGAACAGGGCACCAACGCAUCACCUGGUGAUUUGUGGGUAUAUUUGCCUGGCUUCAGGCAAUGCAUCUUAUUAACACCAAGUUUGACGUUUGCUUCUGUGUCAGUUGGUUUACGGUGCUGCUGAGGAGCUUUCAUGAUUCCCUGAUAUUCGUCGGCAGUAGCACUAUCUAUCAGGUUCAAUAUUGAUCCAGCCGUAGAAGACUUCCACCUUUCCUGCAGGUAUUAAACUGUGGAACCGGUUAUCGAAUCUAACAACUCUUCAUCUUUUGGUAAACAGCAAACACAACAUCUGUAUCAGAUCAGAAAAUUUGUGUGUAUCGAACUAAUGAAAUAAACACAUUUUAAUUUGAUUUAGCGAGAAUUCCUUUUGUUGCAUCUGAUAAUCAGUAUGAUGAUGAAUCAACACAAACUUGUAAACAGAAGUGAAAACCCCACCGUUUUUUAUGCAUUUAUACACCAAAACAGAAGGAUAAUAUUUGUUCAGCUUGGGGUUAAAAGAAAUUGCUCCCAAGAAUUUCAGGUCACAAGUUCAGAAUUGGAUUGGCAAUAGUAAACCUAGCAACUUAUCCCUAAUUGCGAUCGCCACGAAGCACACGGUUAUGCAACAACAAGAUACGCACAAGCUCCCCCCGGGUGGCGACGAAUUCGUUCCCGCGCCGGAACCAGGGGAGAAAAUUGAUGAUAAAUAGCAGAGCACACACCCGCCCUCUCAUCCACAUGAACGGGACUACGGAAGAACCAUUCUCUCUUUUUCAGUAACAAGACUAUUGUACUUGGUUACAUACAUGCUACCCUCGAUUGACCAGACUCAUACACCAGAACCGCACGCGUCAUUCCUAUUCAAGAAUCCAUCCACAAAUCGAGCAGAAACUGAGGAUCUCACAAACAAAAUCCGUUCACGCAUCGCGUCAAUCCCCUCGACACUCCGCAUGAACCCAGGCCUGAAUCCCCUCGAACCCUCAGGCCAAUCCCCCUCCGCCAACUAAUUAUUGAUUAACCUAGCUAGGGUUUCCACGGUCAAACCGAGUAGCAGAGGAAUCAAGCCGGAAUCGCGGGAGUGGGAGAGGGUUUACCCUUUCCCUGGCGCAGCGCGCUGGAGGGCCGCGACCGGGGGCACUGCGGGGAGGAACCGGCGGGAUCCAGGAGCAGAGCUCCUCUCGUCGCGGGCGCGGUUCGGGGGGAAGAAUGAUACGGAUCGAUGUGCCGCUCCCUUCCCGCCUGGGUGCGGUUUGGGGCGGGGCGGGGCGGCGCCGGGUGGCGGGGGAGACGGGGAGGAGGAGGCGGCGGCGGCGGCGUCCGGCACGGUGGUGGUCGCCGGAGAGGAGGGCGGGCGGGGGGGGAGGGUGAGGGUCGUGGGGCCUGGCUUUGGGUUAGUCCUAUCUCCUCCUCCUCCUCCUCCUCCUUGUUGCAGGCGACGCUGAAGCGACCGCCAAUGGCCCGGCCCAGUUCUGACGCGAGUUUGUUUUCAAUUCAUUUUCUCUUUUAUUUUAUUUUAUUUUUCUUAUUUUUUAAAGAUGUUCCGAAUUUCAGAAAACGUUCGGCAUUUCAAGAAAAGCGUAUGGUGAAUUUUAACAAUUAUCCUGGGUUUCAAGAGACUGUUCCGGAAUUAAAGGAAAUGUUCAAAUUUUUCAAAAAGUGUUUCACAUUUUUUUUAAAAUGUUACGAAUUUUGUAAAAUGCUUAUGAAUUUGAAAACGGAUGUAUGGCGUGUACAGAAAAACAUGUCGGUCGUAUACUAAAUAAAGUUCAUUAUAUGUUACGGAAAUAGUUCAUUGCGUGUUAAAAGCAUGUUCAACGUGUGUUAAAAACAUCAUCGUCCAUUGGAGAAUUGUUUGCCUUGUAUUAAAUUUUUGAAGAAAAAAAUGGAAAACAUCAGAUUAAAGAAAAAUAGGACUUUUUUUGAAACGUGAACAUCUCCUCUCCCCUAUCUUGGAAAACGGGUAGUGUUCCCAUGCCGCUUCAUCUUUUGUCUGACCUCCACCUUGGUACUCCCCUCCUCCCAUCAUUCUUCCCCCACACCUAUUUUUUCCCUCCCACCUGAUUCUUUUCCUAACUUUGUUUUGAUUAUUUGCUUUUCUGGUUUCCUUCUUUCUGCUUCUGCCUUCUCGAUUUUCUUUCGUCCCUAAAAUCCCCCGACACCCAUCCCACGUCGUCUCCUCCUGUGCCUGGACGCCCGCCUGCCUCACGCGCUUGUAAGUCAACAUCCCAUCUCUCGUACACGACACCAGCGUGUUCGUCGGCCUCCACUCAAGCACGCCAAUCUGUGACGUCUCCGAUGGCGAUGCCCAUGGCGUUAGGUCACGCUCGGCUCCAACCGCGCACGCCGACAGCACCAAACGGCGCCCUCGGCAAGGAAUCCAUGGGCUUUCCCACCCCCUGCGGGAUUCUUCAUAUCAUCUGUGUCAGGGCGUCAUCAUCGCAAGAGGUCCUGGUAAGAUCAUUCCCAUUUUCUUUGAUAUACUAUGUUUCUUAGCUAAUGUACUCCUAGCAUGGAUCAUGAUCGUCCGGUUAACAAAGAUUUGACCAUCUCGUAAUAGUAGCUGAUAUAUACACUACAUCAGUUUGCAUGAGAACAAGAUUGUCUGUCCAUGUCUUUAGUACUUUGUCUAGUUUUAAAUGUUCACUUUAUCGACUUAUUAUUAGAAGGCAUGUACUAAUAAAAGAAACCAUGCAUCCUUGGCUUGAUUAAAUGUGUGUUUGCUAAUUUAUAUUUAAAGUUUUCUUUGUUUUAUCUUAUUACUCCAUAGCUAAUUAUAUUUUGGAAUCUUAUGGGUGCAAAGGACUUUCACAAUAAGAAGGUGCUAACUUUUUCGCGGGAAAAAUAUUAAAACUAAAAGGAAAUUGCAAUUCCGAGAUUCUUUAGUGUUCUGGGUAACAAUAUGUUCCAAACAGACUGGCAUUGCUAAAUGAGAUAGCAUAUGGUUCAGGAAAAAACACAUUCAUCACUUCAUUUGACAUAUUCAGUCAAGUAAGAAAAUUCUGGAAUCCAAGACAGAAUAGAAACUAUUGUACUUCCGAAUACACAUUUAUUUGCCAACAAGAAACUAUCUAUCACAUGCAGGUUUGUUUGCUCCCCGGAGCAUGGCAAUAUGAGAUGCUCUUAUAUAAACAUGAUCUUGCUUACAAUGUUAAUUCAAAAUGUUACUCCAAGACCAGAUCUUGCUUACAAUGUCAUUAUAAUUGUCAGGACUAAUAAACUGCACAUGCACCCCACGCAAGUAGGACAACUUGAUUAGAUCUACAGGUAUAUUUUUAUCACUUCUAGUAACCUCAUUGAUUGUUUACAUGCCAUCAUUUAUACCAAGUAUACAUGAGUGGUAUUUUUCCUAUCAUAGUGCCCAAUUAGGCUGACACAUAUUUUACAUUAGUGCUACUUCGGUCAUCAAGAGCUUUCUCUCCUAUCUAAAAAAGAGUAGUGUUUGAAAGUGCAUCUAAUCCCUAGGUGGUUUUGGUAAUUCAUCACAACAUAUACAUCAUUGAACUAAUGCCUACUCAUAGAAUAUUCCAAGAAAGUUCAAUCUAGGUACAACAAUUGGAUGUGAAUGUGGAUCCCUCAAAAUGCUAAGGACAAGCAUUGACAAAGCUCAAGAAUCUACAUUUCCAUUUAAGUGAUCCAAGAUCACAUUGAGACCAUAGGAAACCAAUACUAUUAAAAGGGGAUGAGCUUUUGUUGAUGCUCUAACUGCUCAAAUGUUAACAACUAGACUCACCAAGAUACACUUGACAUAGGCACUACACAAACCCUAGCAUCUCAGUUUCACCGAGUUGGCCCUGUGGUCCCACCGAAGUGUUGGGGAACGUAGUAAUUUCAAAAAAAUUUCUACGCACACGCAAGAUCAUGGUGAUGCAUAGCAACGAGAGGGGAGAGUGUUCGUCCACGUACCCUCGUAGACCGUAAGCGGAAGCGUUAUGACAACGCGGUUGAUGUAGUCGUACGUCUUCACGAUCCGACCGAUCCAAGCACCGAACGUACGGCACCUCCGAGUUCAGCACACGUUCAGCUCGAUGACGAUCCCCGGGCUCCGAUCCAGCAAAGGUUCGGGGAUGAGUUCCGUCAGCACGACGGCGUGGUGACGAUGAUGAUGUUCUACCGACGCAGGGCUUCGCCUAAACUCCGCGACGAUAUGACCGAGGUGGAAUAUGGUGGAGGGGGGCACCGCACACGGCUAAGGAACGAUCCGUAGAUCAACUUGUGUGUCUAUGGGGUGCCCCCUGCCCCCGUAUAUAAAGGAGGGAGGGGGGAGGCCGGCCGGCCCUUGUUGGGCACGCCAGGAGGAGGAAUCCUCCUCCUAGUAGGAGUAGGACUCCUCCUUUCCUACUCCUACUAGGAGGGGAAGGAAGGGGGAGAGGAGGGGAAGGAAAGAGGGGGGCCCCCCCCCUCCUAGUCCAAUUCGGACCAGAGGGAGAGGGGGCGCGCGGCCCUUCCUGGCCGCCCCUCUCUCUUCCCACCAAGGCCCAUGUGGCCCAUUAACUCUCCAGGAGAGGUUCCGGUAACCCUCCGGCACUCCGGUUUUCUCCGAAAUCACCCGGAACACUUCCGGUGUCCGAAUAUAGUCGUCCAAUAUAUCAAUCUUUAUGUCUCGACCAUUUCGAGACUCCUCGUCAUGUCCGUGAUCACAUCCGGGACUCCGAACAAACUUCAGUACAUCAAAACUUGUAAACUCAUAAUAAAACUGUCAUCGUAACGUUAAGCGUGCGGACCCUACGGGUUCGAGAACUAUGUAGAUAUGACCUAGAACUAUUCUCGGUCAAUAACCAAUAGCGGAACCUGGAUGCCCAUAUUGGUUCCUACAUAUUCUACGAAGAUCUUUAUCGGUCAAACCGCAUAACAACAUACGUUGUUCCCUUUGUCAUCGGUAUGUUACUUGCCCGAGAUUUGAUCGUCGGUAUCCAAUACCUAGUUCAAUCUCGUUACCGGCAAGUCUCUUUACUCGUUCUGUAACACAUCAUCUUAUAACUAACUCAUUAGUUACAAUGCUUGCAAGGCUUAGGUGAUGAGUAUUACCGAGAGGGCCCAGAGAUACCUCUCCGACAAUCGGAGUGACAAAACCUAAUCUCGAAUUAUGCCAACCCAACAUGUACCUUUGGAAACACCUGUAGAGCACCUUUAUAAUCACCCAGUUACGUUGUGACGUUUGGUAGCACACAAAGUGUUCUUCCGGUAAAGGGAGUUGCACAAUCUCAUAGUUGCAGGAACUUUGUAUAAGUCAUGAAGAAAGCAAUAGCAACAUACUAAACGAUCAAGUGCUAGGCUAACGGAAUGGGUCAUGUCAAUCACAUCAUUCUCCUAAUGAUGUGAUCCCAUUAAUCAAAUGACAACACAUGUCUAUGGUUAGGAAACAUAACCAUCUUUGAUUAAUGAGCUAGUCAAGUAGAGGCAUACUAGUGACUUUAUGUUUGUCUAUGUAUACACACGUGUAUCAUGUUUCCGGUUAAUACAAUUCUAGCAUGAAUAAUAAACAUUUAUCAUGAUAUGAGGAAAUAAAUAAUAACUUUAUUAUUGCCUCUAGGGCAUAUUUCCUUCAGUCUCCCACUUGCACUAGAGUCAAUAAUCUAGAUUACAUAGUAAUGAUUCUAACACCCAUGGAGUCUUGGUGCUGAUCAUGUUUUGCUCGUGAGAGAGGCUUAGUCAACGGGUCUGCAACAUUCAGAUCCGUAUGUAUCUUGCAAAUCUCUAUGUCUCCCACUUGGACUUGGUCCCGAAUGGAAUUGAAGUGUCUCUUGAUGUGCUUGGUCCUCUUGUGAAAUCUGGAUUCCUUUGCCAAGGCAAUUGCACCAGUAUUGUCACAGAAGAUCUUCAUUGGUCCCGAUGCACUAGGUAUGACACCUAGAUCGGAAAUGAACUCCUUCAUCCAGGCUCCUUCAUUUGCUGCUUCCGAAGCAGCUAUGUACUCCGCUUCACAUGUAGAUCCCGCUACGACGCUUUGUUUAGAACUGCACCAACUUACAGCUCCACCGUUUAAUAAAAACACGUAUCCGGUUUGCGAUUUAGAAUCGUUCGGAUCAGUGUCAAAGCUUGCAUCGACGUAACCGUUUACGACUAGCUCUUUAUCACCUCCAUAUACGAGAAACAUAUCCUUAGUCCUUUUCAGGUAUUUCAGGAUGUUCUUGACCGCUGUCCAGUGAUCCACUCCUGGAUUACUUUGAUACCUUCCUGCCAAGCUUAUUGCUAAGCAUAUGUCAGGUCUGGUACACAGCAUUGCAUACAUGAUAGAGCUUAUGGCUGAAGCAUAGGGAACAUUUUUCAUUUUCUCUCUAUCUUCUGCUGUGGUCGGGCAUUGAGUUUGACUCAACUUCACACCUUGUAGCACAGGCAAGAAUCCUUUCUUUGCCUGAUCCAUUUUGAACUUUUUCAAAAUUUUGUCAAGGUAUGUGCUUUGUGAAAGUCUUAUUAAGCGUCUUGAUCUAUCUCUAUAGAUCUUGAUGCCCAAUAUGUAAGCAGUUUCACCGAGGUCUUUCAUUGAAAAACUUUUAUUCAAGUAUACUUUUAUGCUAUCCAGAAAUUCUAUAUCAUUUCCAAUUAAUAAUAUGUCAUCUACAUAUAAAAUUAGAAAUGCUACAGAGCUCCCACUCACUUUCUUGUAAAUACAGGCUUCUCCAAAAGUCUGUAUAAAACCAUAUGCUUUGAUCACACUAUCAAAGCGUUUAUUCCAACUCCGAGAUGCUUGCACCAGUCCAUAAAUGGAACGCUGGAGCUUGCACACUUUGUCAGCACCUUUUGGAUCAACAAAACCUUCUGGCUGCAUCAUAUACAACUCUUCUUCUAGAAAUCCAUUCAAGAAUGCAGUCUUGACAUCCAUUUGCCAAAUUUCAUAAUCAUGAAAUGCAGCAAUAGCUAACAUGAUUCGGACGGACUUAAGCAUCGCUACGGGUGAGAAAGUCUCAUCGUAGUCAACCCCUUGAACUUGUCGAAAACCUUUUGCAACAAGUCGAGCUUUAUAGACAGUUAUAUUACCAUCAGCGUCAGUCUUCUUCUUAAAGAUCCAUUUAUUCUCAAUGGCUUGCCGAUCAUCGGGCAAGUCAACCAAAGUCCAUACUUUGUUUUCAUACAUGGAUCCCAUCUCAGAUUUCAUGGCUUCUAGCCAUUUUGCGGAAUCCGGGCUCAUCAUCGCUUCCUCAUAGUUCGUAGGUUCAUCAUGGUCAAGUAACAUGACUUCCAGAGUAGGAUUACCGUACCAUUCUGGUGCGGAUCUUACUCUGGUAGACCUACGAGGUUCAGUAGAAACUUGAUCUGAAGUUUCAUGAUCAUUAUCAUUAGCUUCCUCACUAAUUGGUGUAGUUGUCACAGGAACUAAUUCUCGUGAUGAACUACUUUCCAAUAAGGGAGUAGAUACAGUUAUCUCAUCAAGUUCUACUUUCCUCCCACUCACUUCUUUCGAGAGAAACUCCUUUUCUAGAAAGGAUCCAUUCUUAGCAACGAAUGUCUUGCCUUCGGAUCUGUGAUAGAAGGUGUACCCAAUAGUCUCUUUUGGGUAUCCUAUGAAGACACAUUUCUCCGAUUUAGGUUCGAGCUUAUCUGGUUGAAGUUUCUUCACAUAAGCAUCGCAGCCCCAAACUUUAAGAAAUGACAACUUUGGUUUCUUGCCAAACCACAGUUCAUAAGGCGUCGUUUCAACGGAUUUUGAUGGUGCCCUAUUUAACGUGAAUGCGGCCGUCUCUAAAGCAUAACCCCAAAACGAUAGCGGUAAAUCAGUAAGAGACAUCAUAGAUCGCACUAUAUCAAUUAAAGUAUGAUUACGACGUUCGGACACACCAUUUCGUUGUGGUGUUCCAGGUGGCGUGAGUUGCGAAACUAUUCCACAUUGUUUCAAGUGUAGGCCAAACUCAUAACUCAAAUACUCUCCUCCAUGAUCAGAUCGUAGAAACUUUAUUUUCUUGUUACGAUGAUUUUCCACUUCACUCUGAAAUUCUUUGAACUUUUCAAAUGUUUCAGACUUGUGUUUCGUCAAGUAGAUAUACCCAUAUCUGCUCAAAUCAUCUGUGAAGGUGAGAAAAUAACGAUACCCGCCGCGAGCCUCAACAUUCAUUGGGCCACAAACAUCAGUAUGUAUGAUUUCCAACAAAUCAGUUGCUCGCUCCAUAGUUCCGGAGAACAGCGUUUUAGUCAUCUUGCCCAUAAGGCACGGUUCGCAAGUACCAAGUGAUUCAUAAUCAAGUGAUUCCAAAAGUCCAUCAGUAUUGAGUUUCUUCAUGCGCUUUACACCGAUAUGACUCAAACGGCAGUGCCACAAAUAAGUUGCACUAUCAUUAUUAACUCUGCAUCUUUUGGUUUCAACACUAUGAAUAUGUGUAUCACUACUAUCGAGAUUUAAUAAAAAUAGACCACUCUUCACGGGUGCAUGACCAUAAACACUACUGGAAACAGGGAAUUUGCCAUCAGACAGCUCUUUGCCAUCUGCCAGCUGAUGGCAAAGAACAUCUAUGCCAUCUGCUUAUAAAAAGCAGAUGACAAAAAACUGACAGACGGCAAAGAACAUGGUUGCCAUCAGCCAAUUCUUUGCCAUCUGCUGGUGGAUGGCAAAUAAUCUUUGUCAUCUGCCAGCAGAUGGCAAAGAGGUUGGCAAAUCUUAUGGUCAUCAAAAGUGUAACGACGUAUCAGCCCCACCUUUUUGCCAUCUGCCAUCUGCCAGCGGGGCCGGCGGCGCCGGCGGGGGACUGUGGCUCCGCGCUGACGGGCCUCACCAGCUGCCUCCCCUACAUCUCGCCGGGGUCCACGCAGGGCAAGCCGCCCAAGGAGUGCUGCACCGGCGUCAAGUCCGCGCUCGCCAGCCCGGCCAACGUCGCCUGCCUCUGCGACGCCUUCGGCAAGGACUACGGCAUCCCCAUGAAUCUCAUCCGCGCCAAGGGCCUCCCCGCCGCCUGCGCAGGCAACCCGGCUGCCCUCAACAACUGCAGCCGUGAGCUAUCUUCCCUUAGCGCCAUCUUGUUCUGAUUUUCUUUUCCGCGUGUCGAUUUGUGAUCUGUCACAUGUGGUGUUGGUCUGACCUUGUUUUUGGUUCUCCUGCAGUGAAACUGCCCGGCGGAGCCCCUAACGGCGCCCCUACUGAAGGUAAUUCCCCUCUCUCUUCUCCUUUGCAGAGAUCCUCACCUCACGUCGGUGCUAGGUGGUAGGUGGGCUGAGGAUAAUUGGUCAUGAGCAAUUUAGUUGGAGGCCUCCUUGCCAGUCUUCUUCCUCCAAACUGACGAAAUUGACAAGAACAUCGACUCAGCUCAAAUCUUCAUACUAUAUAGUAUAUUUACCCAUUAUUUUUGCCAAAUAUUAUUAUGGAGGCUGCCAAAUCUUGCCAUAUUGUUGGCUUUGCUCCUGAAGUCAGGUUGUUUUGGACAGCCAAGAACAAGAGUACACUGAAACUACUGAUUUUAUUUUUUUAAGAAACAAGAGUUACAAACUCAAGUGGUCGGGCAGUAUUCAGACUACAUCAAAUCUCUAAGUCUAUUAGGGACGCUUGCUGCCAAUUGACAAGAAUACAUAGCCCCGAUGGUUUGUGGCGGCUGCACCCACCCAUCCCAGUCCACUGUCCAGCAGAAAGGCAACAUCUGACCGGUCCAAAAAAAGUUACUAACCCACAAAAAGAAACAGCAGAAAGGAGUCGGCUAGCUUUCUUGCAGACUAUACGUACAUGUGAAACAUAGAAUCAUAUCACGCAAGUUAUACAGCAGGUCAAAAAAAUCUUAAAAAAAUAAAAUAAAGUAACAGCCAACAGAUAACUAUAGUAGUUAGGAAGAGCAACUUUAGUGAAGAAAAAUAUUGAGCUGGAUAGCUUAAUGUCAUCUAGAUUGGUAUGCCAUGCUCAAUUGCAAUUUUGGGUCAUUAGAACAUGAAAUGAUUGGAUCUGCCUGAGCAGGAUGGGGUUUACAAGUUGUAAUCUGGCAAAAUUCGGUUCUCAACUUUCUUUUCCUAUAUCUUCCAUUGUAUAAUUGCAACACACAGGAAAACCUGAAGCUAUUUCAAGGCUUGUGACAAAGCUGCAAUGGUUAUCUGAUAUCUACUUGUUCCCUUGAUAGACAUAUUUCUCUUGCUCUGCUCUGCAUGAACUAGACAGAUAGCAUUGUAAAACAGCGGAAAACCUGUAAACAUUUCAUGCCAAAAUGGCAAUUUCAGCCACAAUGCAAUAAUCGAGACAAACAUGGCAGUCUGCAUUUUAACAAGGAUGGCAACUGCAACCUGAUCAUCUCAGCACAAUUUUUGUCAGCGAGCCAUCAACACUUGCGGCAGGAAAAGUCUGCAUAGUACCAACUCUGUGCCAAAUAGUUAGAAAGAUGUUUUCUAUUGCAUUGCAUUAUGCUAAUGUGGAGUUGGAGAUGAUAGCUUCAACAAGCACAUGGCUGUUAAGCUAAGAAUUGGUGUACAUUGUAAGGAGCCAUCCUAUCCUAGUCAGUAAAAUGAAAUCAUCUAACUGUUGCUAAAUGCAUUCAGAAAAGGGGAGUCCAUGGUGCUCUAAACUGAACAUCAGUUUCAUGUGUUCAUCUGAUUCCAUUAGAUGAAGUUGUCAAGAAACGACCUUCUACUUACGCUUAAGACAAUAUCUAAGACAAUCCAGAUCCAGCUGUACUGGGUCAACAAUAUGUCAGCUGAUUAUACUUUGGCAACAACAGAUCUCAUGCACAUAUCAAUAUCUGCAUCUCCAAACUGUGGGCCAACUCUCUUGGCAGAAUAAUUAGUUGUUUUAUUGCCCGAUAUAAUCCUCAUGUAUCAUUAACAGAAUAGGUUAACAUCAACAUCCACAAGCACGAAUCGUCCGCCAGGAAAACAGCAAGCAACACCAGCCCUUCGUCAACUCUAAUAGUACUGCUGUACAUACUGAAGUUCAUUUGUUUCACUUCUUUUUUUUAUAGCCAUGAAACAGCCUUGGUACGUUACUCAUUUUAGAUUCUUAGAUAUCUCUGCACAUGCUUCCAUGUGGUAGCCAUUGCUGUUUCGUUUCAUAAAAGUUACCAUAUUCGAGCAUUCUUAUAUGCAUAUUUGUUUCCUAGAUCUGUCAACACGAGUGUCUCCCAAAGGUCCUAAAACAUUUAUGGUGAGUUAUGUAUUACAACAAAAUCAUUCUGCGAAAAAAGCCGAUGUACAAAAUUACCCGAUAUUCUCUCUUUUAUACUAAAAUCUAACAUAUAGUAAAUCGAGAAAAAUAGCAUGUGCCAUCCGCAGCUCCUUACUGUUCUUUGCAUAUCGUAUAUUUAUAAUACAUGGAGCUUUACCAAUGUGUACUGUAUUUGAAACAAUACGUGGAUUAUGGCAUCAAGGGUGAAAACAAAUAUGUAGUUGUAUAUGAUCUCCAAAUUUUGUUUCUCCUAGGUAUUUUAAGGAUACACAAAUGUAGUUGUAUAUAAUCUCCAAAUAUCUAUUUCCUCAACAAGCUUCUAUAGUCCCCUUAAUUUCAUUUGCACAGUUGUUUUGAUAAAUUAGGUCUAGAUUCAUUGUGCCACUUCAUAUUUCAGAAUACAUGUGUGGGAACGAAGCAUAUAACUAAUAUUUUUUCAUGUUGUAAUUAUAAGAGGCUGAUUUCAUCUAUUCAUUGUUUCAUCCAUGUUGCAUGAAAAUGCCAAUUGUAUUUAAAGAAGAAAGAAACACUCAUUGUUUGAGUUCAGUCCAAUAUAUUGUAGCAGCAAAUAUUCUUAUCCCUGAAAAAAUAUCUCAAUUUUGAAUUAGUAUGAAUUUGCUGUGGCCCAUCCUAGAGAUAAUUAGACCGCUCCUGAAAUUAAGACUACACAUUGCUAAUGUCGCAAGUGUUUAAAAUGGCCACUCUGACUACAUUUUCAGCUAGCUCAAAAAUGACCUAUUUAACCUAGGAUAGCUCUAAAAUGACCUAUACUUAGCAUUUUUUUUUUCUCCAAAUGACUUAAUAUGCUUAGCUAGCUCUAAAAUGACUUACGAAAUGACAUAUUUUAGCUCCGAAAUGACUUCAUAUGCUUAGCUAGCUCCAAAAUGACAUAAUAAACUUAUUAGUUCCAAAAUGACAUUACUUAGCAUUUUUUACACCAAAAUGACUUAGUAUGCUUAGUUAGCUCAAAAAUGACAUAAUAACCAUACUUAGCUCCAAAAUGACCUAUUUUACAGAUAUAAGUUGCAUCAUAAUAAUCUUCACAUUUUAGUUACAUCAUAAUAAUCUUCUUCUUCUAGUCUUCUUCUUCUAACUUUCUUCUUUCCCAUUUUGUAGAUUUGCUUCAGAUCAUAGAAGCUUGGGUUGAUGGAGUGCUUGUCUUUAGUUUUUGUUUUGACUUUGUGAAACUUGCUACCUAUGAUGAAACUGUGUAAUAUUGAUGAAACUAUGUAUAUGUAUGGAUGAAACUUGCUACUAUUGGUAACAUGUGUUGGAUAUGUGUUCGAUAUAUAUGUGUUCAUGACUAUUGGUAAUAUGUGUUGAAUAUGCUAUAUUGGUCAUAUAAAUAUAUUUGUAUUUGAUUUUCUGUGAAAAUGAAUUGAUAUAAGAAAAAACAAAAUUAAAUGGGGCAAUAUAGGCACUUUGCCAUCUGCUGGCAGAUGGCAAAGAGUUUUGCCAUCAGCUGGCAGAUGGCAAAGAGGCCACGUGUCAUCUACACGUAAAAUUUGGGCUGGCCUAUUUGGGCCCUUUGCCAUCUACCAGCAGAUGGCAAAGCGCCUUUACCAUCUGCUGGCAGACGGCAAAGAGCCUGCCUUUGCCAUCUGCUGGCAGACGGCAAAGCAUGCUGUUAGCCUUCUAACGGGGCUAACCCUGUUAAGAGGCUUUGCCAUCUGCCAGCUGAUGGCAAAGGCACAGGCUCUUUGCCAUCAGCCAGCAGAUAGCAAAGAAGCGUUUGCCGGCAGGGUUUCAGACAAACUGUUUGCCAUCUGCUGGCAGAUGGCAAAGCCUUUGCCAUCCGCCGACCAUGCCUUUGCCAUCUGCCAUGGCAGAUGGCAAAGUGCCAGAUUCCAGUAGUGAAAAGAUAUUACUCGUAUAAAUAGAACAACCAUUAUUCUCUGAUUUAAAUGAAUAACCGUCUCGCAUCAAACAAGAUCCAGAUAUAAUGUUCAUGCUCAACGCUGGCACCAAAUAACAAUUAUUCAGGUCUAAAACUAAUCCCGAAGGUAGAUGUAGAGGUAGCGUGCCGACCGCGAUCACAUCGACUUUGGAACCGUUUCCCACGCGCAUCGUCACCUCGUCCUUGGCCAGUGCUCGCUUAUUCCGUAGUCCCUGUUUCGAGUUGCAAAUAUUAGCAACAGAACCAGUAUCAAAUACCCAGGUGCUACUACGAGCUCUAGUUAGGUACACAUCAAUAACAUGUAUAUCACAUAUACCUUUAUUCACUUUGCCAUCCUUCUUAUCCGCCAAAUACUUGGGGCAGUUCCGCUUCCAGUGACCAGUCUGCUUGCAGUAGAAGCACUCAGUUUCAGGCUUAGGCCCAGACUUGGGUUUCUUCUCUUGAGCAGCAACUUGCUUGCUGUUCUUCUUGAAGUUCCCUUUCUUCUUCCCUUUGCCCUUUUUCUUGAAACUAGUGGUCUUGUUGACCAUCAACACUUGAUGCUCCUUCUUGAUUUCUACCUCCGCAGCUUUUAGCAUUGCGAAGAGCUCGGGAAUAGUCUUGUUCAUCCCUUGCAUAUUAUAGUUCAUCACAAAGCUCUUGUAGCUUGGUGGCAGUGAUUGGAGAAUUCUGUCAAUGACGCUAUCAUCCGGAAGAUUAACUCCCAGUUGAAUCAAGUGAUUAUUAUACCCAGACAUUUUAAGUAUAUGUUCACUGACAGAACUAUUCUCCUCCAUCUUGCAGCUGUAGAACUUAUUGGAGACUUCAUAUCUCUCAAUCCGGGCAUUUGCUUGAAAUAUUAACUUCAACUCCUGGAACAUCUCAUAUGCUCCAUGACGUUUAAAACAUCGUUGAAGACCCGGUUCUAAGCCAUAAAGCAUGGCACACUGAACUAUAGAGUAGUCAUCAGCUUUGCUCUGCCAGACGUUCUUAAUGUCGUCAGUUGCAUCAGCAGCAGGCCUGGCACCCAGCGGUGCUUCCAGGACGUAACUUUUCUGUGCAGCAAUGAGGAUAAUCCUCAGGUUACGGACCCAGUCCGUGUAAUUGCUACCAUCAUCUUUCAACUUUGCUUUCUCAAGGAACGCAUUAAAAUUCAACGGAACAACAGCACGAGCCAUCUAUCUACAAACAAACAUAGACAAGCAAAAUACUAUCAGGUACUAAGUUCAUGAUAAAUUUAAGUUCAAUUAAUCAUAUUACUUAAGAACUCCCACUUAGACAGACAUCUCUCUAGUCAUCUAAGUGAUCACGUGAUCCAAAUCAACUAAACCAUAACCGAUCAUCACGUGAGAUGGAGUAGUUUUCAAUGGUGAACAUCACUAUGUUGAUCAUAUCUACUAUAUGAUUCACGCUUGACCUUUCGGUCUCCGUGUUCCGAGGCCAUAUCUGCAUAUGCUAGGCUCGUCAAGUUUAACCUGAGUAUUCUGCGUGUGCAAAACUGGCUUGCACCCGUUGUAGAUGGACGUAGAGCUUAUCACACCCGAUCAUCACGUGGUGUCUGGGCACGACGAACUUUGGCAAUGGUGCAUACUCAGGGAGAACACUUCUUGAUAAUUUUAGUGAGAGAUCAUCUUAAAAUGCUACCGUCAAUCAAAGCAAGAUAAGAUGCAUAAAGGAUAAACAUCACAUGCAAUCAAUAUAAGUGAUAUGAUAUGGCCAUCAUCAUCUUGUGCUUGUGAUCUCCAUCUCCGAAGCACCGUCAUGAUCACCAUCGUCACCGGCGCGACACCUUGAUCUCCAUCGUAGCAUCGUUGUCGUCUCGCCAACUAUUGCUUCUACGACUAUCGCUACCGCUUAGUGAUAAAGUAAAGCAAUUACAGGGGGUUUGCAUUUCAUACAAUAAAGCGAUAACCAUAUGGCUCCUGCCAGUUGCCGAUAACUUCGGUUACAAAACAUGAUCAUCUCAUACAAUAAAAUAUAGCAUCACGUCUUGACCAUAUCACAUCACAACAUGCCCUGCAAAAACAAGUUAGACGUCCUCUACUUUGUUGUUGCAAAUUUUACGUGGCUGCUACGGGCUUUUAGCAAGAACCGUUCUUACCUACGCAUAAAAACCACAACGAUAGUUUGUCAAGUUGGUGUUGUUUUAACCUUCGCAAGGACCGGGCGUAGCCACACUCGAUUCAGCUAAAGUGAGGGAGACAGAUACCCGCCAGCCACCUUUAAGCACGAGUGCUCGCAAUGGUGAAACCAGUCUCGCGUAAGCGUACGCGUAAUGUCGGUCCGGGCCGCUUCAUCUCACAAUACCGCCGAACCAAAGUAUGACAUGCUGGUAAGCAGUAUGACUUGUAUCGCCCACAACUCACUUGUGUUCUACUCGUGCAUAUAACAUCAACGCAUAAAACCUGGCUCUGAUGCCACUGUUGGGGAACGUAGUAAUUUCAAAAAAUUUCCUACGCACACGCAAGAUUAUGGUGAUGCAUAGCAACGAGAGGGGAGAGUGUUCGUCCACGUACCCUCGUAGACCGUAAGCGGAAGCGUUAUGACAACGCGGUUGAUGUAGUCGUACGUCUUCACGAUCCGACCGAUCCAAGCACCGAACGUACGACACCUCCGAGUUCAACACAUGUUCAGCUCGAUGACGAUCCCCGGGCUCCGAUCCAGCAAAGCUUCGGGGAUGAGUUCCGUCAGCACGACGGCAUGGUGACGAUGAUGAUGUUCUACCGGCACAGGGCUUCGCCUAAACUCCGCGACGAUAUGACCGAGGUGGAAUAUGGUGGAGGGGGGCACCGCACACGGCUAAGGAAUGAUCCGUAGAUCAACUUGUGUGUCUAUGGGGUGCCCCCGCUCCCGUAUAUAAAGGAGGGAGGGGGAAGGCCGGCCGGCCCUUGUUGGGCACGCCAGGAGGAGGAAUCCUCCUCCUAGUAGGAGUAGGACUCCUCCUUUCCUACUCCUACUAGGAGGGGAAGGAAGGGGGAGAGGAGGGGAAGGAAAGAGGGGGGCGCCGCCCCCCCUCCUAGUCCAAUUCAGACCAGAGGGAGAGGGGGCGCGCGGCCCUUCCUGGCCGCCCCUCUCUCUUCCCACCAAGGCCCAUGUGGCCCAUUAACUCUCCGGGAGGGGUUCCGGUAACCCUCCAGCACUCCGGUUUUCUUCGAAAUCACCGGAACACUUCCGGUGUCCGAAUAUAGUCGUCCAAUAUAUCAAUAUUUAUGUCUCGACCACUUCGAGACUCCUCGUCAUGUCCGUGAUCACAUCCCGGACUCCGAACAAACUUCGGUAUAUCAAAACUUGUAAACUCAUAAUAAAACUGUCAUCGUAACGUUAAGCGUGCGGACCCUACGGGUUCGAGAACUAUGUAGACAUGACCUAGAACUAUUCUUGAUCAAUAACCAAUAGCGGAACCUGGAUGCCCAUAUUGGUUCCUACAUAUUCUACGAAGAUCUUUAUCGGUCAAACCGCAUAACAACAUACGUUGUUCCCUUUGUCAUCGGUAUGUUACUUGCCCGAGAUUUGAUCGUCGGUAUCCAAUACCUAGUUCAAUCUCGUUACCGGCAAGUCUCUUUACUCGUUCUGUAACACAUCAUCUUAUAACUAACUCAUUAGUUACAAUGCUUGCAAGGCUUAGGUGAUGAGUAUUACCGAGAGGGCCUAGAGAUACCUCUCCGACAAUCGGAGUGACAAAACCUAAUCUCGAAUUAUGCCAACCCAACAUGUACCUUCGGAAACACCUGUAGAGCACCUUUAUAAUCACCCAGUUACGUUGUGACGUUUGGUAGCACACAAAGUGUUCUUCCGGUAAACGGGAGUUGCACAAUCUCAUAGUUGCAGGAACUUUGUAUAAGUCAUGAAGAAAGCAAUAGCAACAUACUAAACGAUCAAGUGCUAGGCUAACGGAAUGGGUCAUGUCAAUCACAUCAUUCUCCUAAUGAUGUGAUCCCAUUAAUAAAAUGACAACACAUGUCCAUGGUUAGGAAACAUAACCAUCUUUGAUUAAUGAGCUAGUCAAGUAGAGGCAUACUAGUGACUUUAUGUUUGUCUAUGUAUUCACACGUGUAUCAUGUUUCCGGUUAAUACAAUUCUAGCAUGAAUAAUAAACAUUUAUCAUGAUAUGAGGAAAUAAAUAAUAACUUUAUUAUUGCCUCUAGGGCAUAUUUCCUUCACGAAGAGCACGUGCCAACCUUCUAUUGCCAACUGAAAUUGACUCGAAAUUUUUGACCGGUUUCAACCAGUGACACCGAAGUGUGGAAGUGCUCAUGUCAGCUUGACUCGGGCCCACCGAGAAGUUUUAUCUGGUCUCACCGAAAAUCCUAAAGUUCGAACCUUUUCCACAUGUCAGUCUCACCGAGUGGUUUCACCCGGUCCCACUGAAGUGUGCAUAAAGGUGUGCAAUAGUUGGAUUUUUUGGUGAUGGCUAUAUAUACCCCCUCCCCCCACCCAUCCACAAACUCUCAUAGAGCAACGAGUUCAAAGCUUACAUUUCCCAUAUUCAUUUUCUGAGAGAGAGCCACCUAGUCUUGUGUUGAGACCAAAGGGAUUCCACCCCAACCAUAGAACCUUGAUCUGAGCUUCCCAAUUGCUUUCCACCCAAACCCCUCUCCUACCACACAGCCAAAAUCUGCGAGAGAGUGUUUGAGUGUUAAGGAGACUAUCUUUUGAAGCACAAGAGCAAGGAGUUAAUCAUCAACAACAACAUCUAUUUCCUUUUGGAAAGGGGUGUCUCCUAGAUUGGUUAGGUGUCACUUGGGAGCCUCCAAAUCUUGUGGAGUGAACCAAGGAGUUUGUAAGGGCAAGGAGAUCGCCUACUUCAUGAAGAUCUACCCCGAGCGAGGCUUAUCCUUCGUGGGCAUAAGCCAUGGUGGAAUAGGUAAGGUUGCUUCUUCGUGCACCCUUCAUGGACUCUCACAUAUGUUAUCCUUCUUGGAUUGAAGCCUCCGUCAACGUGGAUAUAUGAUAGCACCACCUACCGGAACCAUGGGAAAAAUCUUCGUGCCCCCAUUGCGUUUGAAUAUCUCCAAACCCUUCCUCUACCUACUUUCAUAUGCAAAGUCUUUACUUUCCACUGCUACUCUAUUAGACGUGCAUGUGUAGGGUGUUUGUAGGCUUGAUAGAACUGGUAAAAUUUGCCCAGAACCAAAAUUGAGAAAGGCUAGGUUUUUAAUUGUCAAGUACUCUAAUCACCACCUCUAGACCUACUUACAAUCCUAUGGUGUUCCUGUUUCACUUCAUCUUUUUGUCCGAUCUCCACCUAGGUAUAACCCCGCCUCCUACCCUCCUUCCCCACAUUGAUUUUUUCUCUCCCAUGUGUUUUUUGAAUUGUUUUGUUUUUAUCUUUCUUCUGCCUCCCCGGUUUCCUUUAGCCACUAAAAUCACACACCAACCAUCCCGCGUCGUCUCCUCCGCUCCUUCAAUCACAUACCCCGCCUUGCAUGCCUGGAAGCCCCUGCCUGCGUCACAUUAUUGUAAGUCGUCAUCCCACGUCCCAUGCAUGAUGAUAGCGCGUUCAACGGCCUCCACUCAUGCGCGCCGAUCCAUGACGCCUGCGGUGGCGACACCCACGACGCUAGGUGAGGCUCAGUGGCUAUCGUGCGCGCCAUCAGCUCUAGACAACACCCCCAUCGAGGAAUACAUGGGCUUCCCCACCCCAACAGAGAUUCUCCAUAUUUGUCAAGGCGUCGUCGCCGCAAGAGGUUCAGUUAAGAUUACCCCCGUUUUCUUUGAUAUACUACAUUUCUUAGCUAAUGUCCUCCUAGCAUUGAUCAUGUUAUCUGAUUAAGAAAGACUUGGUCAUCUGGUAGUAGUAGCUGGUGAAGUGGAUCUAUAUACUACUUCAGUUUUCAUGAUAACAAAUGCUUGAUUGCUUGUCCAUGCACGCUUUAAUAGGAUAGUUGGCUUGUUUCUGUAGUACUUUGUCCAGUUUUAAAUGUUCACUUUCUCAACUUAUUAGAAGGAUCACAUCAAUCGAAAAAUCAUGUGCCCUUGGCUUGAUCAAAUGUGUGGCUGCUAAUUUAUUUCUAAAAUUUUCCUCAUUCUAUCUUAUUAUUCCAUAGCUAAUUAUAUUUCGGAAUCUGAUGGGCGCAACAGACUUUCACAAUAAGAAAGCUCUAACCUUUUGAUAGAUAAAAUGCAAAGAUUAAAAGGAGAUGGAAAUCCAUAUAUUCCUUUAUUGUUAUGUGUAACAACAGGUUCCAACAGACGGGAUGGUAAAUCAGAUAGCAUACUAUUCAGAAAGACAACACAUUCAUCACUUUUUUUGAAAUAUUGGUCAAGUAAGCAAAAUUUGGAAUCCAAGACAAAACACCAACUAUUGUACUUCUGAAUACACAUUUAUUUGCCAGCAUGAAACUAUCCAUCACGUGUAGGUGUGUUUGCUCCCCGGAGCAUAGCAAUAUGAGAUGCUCUUAUAUAAACAUGGCCUUGCUUACAACAUUAAUUAAAGGUCAGAUCUUGCUUUCAAGGUCAAUAUAAUCACCUUUUAACUUCUGUCAAGAUAAAUAAACUACACGUGCACCCCACUAAUAGAAAAACUUGAUUAUAUCUACAGGUAUAUUUUAUCACUUCUAAUAACCUCAUUGACUGUUUACAUGCCAUCGUGUAUACCAAAAAUACAUGAGUGUCGAUUUUAAUUUAUUUUAUGACGUAGUGCCCAUUAGGCUUUCAAAUAUUUUACAUUAGUGGUACUUCUGUCAUGAAACUUAUGAAGAAUUUAUUCCCUUGAACGAUAUUUCAGUCAUUUGGAUUUAUGUUAUAUGUGUGGUGGCAUGAGAAAAUGGAAGGCCCUUGACUGAAAAGAAAGCAAAAUAUGCUUAUCAAUUAACAUAAAAUUUGCAUAAUCAUGUCUUUGAUAUAUGUUUGCGGGAGAGAGAGAGAGAGAGAGCCUUGACUGAAAAGAAAGCAAAAUAUGCUUAUCAGUUAACAUAAAAUUUGCAUAAUCAUGUUUUUGAUAUANNNNNNNNNNNNNNNNNNNNNNNNNNNNNNNNNNNNNNNNNNNNNNNNNNNNNNNNNNNNNNNNNNNNNNNNNNNNNNNNNNNNNNNNNNNNNNNNNNNNNNNNNNNNNNNNNNNNNNNNNNNNNNNNNNNNNNNNNNNNNNNNNNNNNNNNNNNNNNNNNNNNNNNNNNNNNNNNNNNNNNNNNNNNNNNNNAGAGAGAUGCACCAUUGACAGAGGUGGUGAGCUUGCAUUAUGGAGUCGAGGGGUAGAGAUGGUCUGUCAAAUUAGAAGGAGAAGAGUGACUUAAUAGUAACGUCAAUAUUGCCUGAUGUGCAUGAGGAUCUUCAAGAUAUAUGUUAGACACAAUUGGUGUUGACCAUUAAUAUAUGUAUGCUCUCUUGCACUGCAUGAGCAAUUUCCUAGAUUUUUGAAAUAUUUCAAUUUUUUUGGAAAAGACAAAAAAUUCUUUUGUUAACAAUUUUUAAAGCGGAACAUUUUUUGUAAUUCAAAUCAAUUUUUGAAGAGUCAUUUUUUCCAAUUUCGGAACAAUUUUUGAAAGCGAAAUUUUGUCUGAAAUUCCAAACAAAAAUCUAAUUUCUCAACAUUUCUCGAAAUUCCAAUUUUUACAAAAUUUCCAAACUAUUUUUUAAGUAGAAAAUUAUAAAAUAUAAAAAAAGGACAAAAAAAGGAACCAAUGGGAAAACCUAAAACAAAAAAAGGAUAAAUACCAAAUCAAAAAAAAAAUGAAAAAUGAGAAAAAUUAAAACCAGAUGGAAGAAAACCAAAAGAAGGAACAAACACGCAUUAGAAGAAAAAGAAAAAUUAAAGCUGCAGUAGUGAAUGGUAAACUGGGCCAGUCCAGGUCACCUGCGUGCGGGUGGCAUUUGCUAGUUGAUGCCUGCGGGAACACUUGUUUGGCGCCUUAAGUGCUCGAACAGGUAGCUGGCGCCCACACGCCCACCUCAUGGGCCGGCCCAGGAACGCACAUCGCCGGGAACCUAUGCGCGAAAAAAUAGCUAAAAACUAAGGCCAUCCCCAUGAUUCAAAUUCACGUCAUUACGGUCAAGUAGGAGUUCAACUGACCACUACACCUACUCGACUAUUGUGACCGAUAAUAGCUCUAACCUUAUAAGAAAUGUGCCCGUGCUAUUUAUUGCAUAGUUCCAUCUACUAUAUCACUUAGUUUUUUUUUGACUUAUUUGAAUAAUAGUUGUGAAUUUGAAAAUAUUCAAUAUUUUGAAGAAAAUUUCAUAAACUUGAAAAAGUUCACCAUCUUUUUUUAAAGUUCAUUAAAAAAAGGGAAAUAGUUCAUCAAAUUUAAGAAACUUCAUGAAUUUCAAAGGAAGUUCAACGAAUUUUUAAAAGAAGUUCAUGGAUUUUAAAAAAUGUUCACUGAAUCAAAAAAAUCAUUGAAUUACGAAAAAAAGUUCACAUUUUUUGAAUUUUAUUUCAUCGAAUUUGAAAAAAUUUCAUAAAUUCUAAAAAAGAGCUCAUCGGUUUUAAUGAAAGUUCAUAUUUUUUUUAAAAUCAUCGAGUUGAAAAAGUUUCAUCGAAAUUGAAAACAAGUUCAUGGAUUUUGAAACAAAAAUUCAUCCAAUUGGUGAAAAGUUUAUAAAAUUUGAAAUAAAGUUCUUCAAUUUUGAAAAAAAAUAAUCAAAAAUUGAGAAAAAGGUUUUUAAAAGGCCACAAACUUUUAAAAAGUUUAACAAAUUUCAAAAUUUUCAGGGAAUGUCAAAAAAAGUUCGUUGAUUUGGAGAAGAAUUUCACGUAUUUGCAAACAAUUUGUGCCAGUCGGCCGUUUGCAAAUUGCGACCAAGUCGGUUUUUUUUUCCGGACUAAAACAUUUGGAAAAAAACUUACAUGGACCCGCCAGUGCGAGGACGCUUCACGUGCCCGUUUGCAGAAUACACACUAACUGGUGCCUGAGGCGCCGAAUAGGUAUCACUGACGCCUGCAGGUGUUAACUAGGAUUUGCCUAUCUCUCCUACCGCGAGACGGUUAUAGAUCUCACCUUGAGUUCUUUAGUUUUUUUUCCUUCUAGGCUAGACAAGUUCAAUUUUUCAUUAGUUUCUCUGGGUUUUUUAUCGUCUUUUUUUCUUCAUGUUUUCCCAUGAGGUUUUCUUUUUUCAACCUUUUAUUUUGUCAUUUUUCUUAAAAACAUUUCUGUAUUUUCCAAUACAUGUUUUAGAUUCUCAUAUAUAAGUCGAACAUUUCCCUGAUAUAAAAUGAAUAUUUUUUAAAAUAAUUGAUGAUUUUUCAAAUAAAUAUUCUUAACAUUUUAAGAGUGGAUGUUAAACAUUUUAAGAACACAUGUUGAACACUUUUUUUAAUGGUCCAAAACAAUUUUCAAAAUAAAACGAACAUUUCAUUCAUCAUAUAAACAGUUUUUGAGUACAUGUUUAAUUAUUUUCUAAACAAAUGUUAAAUAUUUACAAUACAGGUUGAACAUUUUUCUGGAUGGUAAAUAACUUUUUUUAAAAGUACGUGAACAUUUACAUUGUAAUAAUAUUUAUUUCAAAAUUUUGCAGACAUAUUUGAAACGCUUGAACAUAUUUUCUAAAUGUGAAAAACUUUUUUGAAUGGUGGAAUAUUUUUUUCUUAAUUAUGUGAACAUUCUUUUACAUAUUAUAAACAGUUUCUAAAAAUGGCGCCAACAUAUUUUUUGACGCGCUAGAAUAUUGUAUGAAUACGAUAAACAUUUUUUUGAAGUUGUAUUGAGGAUUUAUUUUGCAACACAUGAACACUUUUUAAGUAUGUGAUACACACUUUUCAGAAAUUUAAGUAAUUAUUGUUGGAACAUAUGUAUUUAGAAUAUUUUUGAGAAUAUAAAAAAUGUAUAAAAUAAAAAGUAAAGGAAAAAUGGAUAGAAGACAAAUGAGCUGAGUGAAAAAAUGAAGCCUUCUACUGGGCCCGGCCACUAGAGUCAUUCCUUGAGGCAAUGUGGCAGUAGCUCUCACCGCAAGCAAGGUAUAGCCCUUUGUCUACAUUACGAACAAUUCACCAAGAGAUCGUUACAUUGGGAUCAGACUAAACUUAUUUGGACUACUUGUUUUCUUGUCACAAUAAAGGUUUUAGAUGUUUAUACAAAAGUGAAAAUAAUAAUAUAAGUUGUUGUAAUUGCAAACUAUUUUGAUUUUUUUUGUAUGGUGGUAUUGAUGAUGCAGGUAGGGUUUCAAAUUAUCUUAAACACUAAAAUUAAAGCCCUAGGUGUUUUACCAAGAAAUAUAUUGAUAUUUUAAACCAUCUAUAUUUAUAGAUAUGCUAAACAUGAACCCCAACCGCACUGAAUCACUUGAAAUAGUAAGACACGUAAAACUUCCAUCUCCACAUCCUUGCAAAAACCAACCAUUCCCAGCCACUUGAAAUAAUAAGGCACUAGAGAUACUCCCAUGUUCAACAAACCAAUAGAAACAUAACAAAAUCUUUAGGUUUUUGCUGGUUUCUUCAUGAUCUUGUAUACUCAAGCGCAUAACCAAACUUAUGAGCAUAGUAUGUUGGAGGAACUGUCCAAACACAAUCAAAUUUGAGCACUACGUUGCUAGUAAUUUAUCCCAUAUAUGAGAAGGAUACAACUCUAAUUUAACAUUGGACCAAGGAUUUUUGCCAAACUCAAUCGUGUAUGUUUCAAAAUUUUGUUUUAAGCUCUAAUAAUAAAUUGAUAGCUUAUUUCUAUGAAGAAAUACAGAAACAAUGCUCUCCUAAAAAAACACAAUGAAAUUUGGUUACAAAGUAUCUCGAGGAUGUGACGGAGAUGAGAGGGAAGAGUGCCAUACCAGUGCACACCGAACGAGUGCAACUUACAUACCUAAGAAGAGCAUAGCAUAUCAACACAUCAUACUAUUGAACAAAAAAAAUAUAUGCAAAACACACAAUGUCGGGUUAGAGCAUGCUUACGUGUAGCACAUGUCGGGUUAGAGCAUGCUUACGUGUAGCACAUGUUGUAUGUAAGAGAUUGCAUGCCAUCAAUAGUGAACUUCUUGUCAUCCUCAGGAGUGGUAAUGUGCAAGACGGCUUGUCCCCUGUGUUUGACAAGUCUACCAUUCGUAAAGACGAUAUCAUCAAGAAGAAACUACUAUGUGUAAUUAGUUCUAGUAACAUUACAUUGAUCCUAGCAUGUUUGCAUAGGUAGAAAUCAAACUCUGUUGGGUAGCGAAUCUGCCUAUCAACCACUACUCCUGGAAUUUGACAGAAAGAGGUUAGAAAACCCAUCUUGUCCAAAUCAGUCGUUUCACCAUUUUUUUUGUGAAAUGACCUGGCAGAACAUUUCAAAUCUUUUCCAGGUAUUUGCGAUCACUUGUGAUUAGUCUUGUAUGGUGCCUUUUCUGCACCACUUGGAAGGUAAUCAGUGGCUUCUCAUUGUAUAAUGCCUUCCAUGCCUGAGACAAAGAGUUCUGAUUAAUCAAUCCCGUUCCUAACAGGAUGAAGACACCGAGCAUCGCUAGUCAUAAAAUUGGUAGGACCUUAUCUACCUGUGGGAUUUCCUUCUUGAAAACUUGUAUGAUCUGACCCUCACUUACACCAUUCAUAGGGACGCAACGAAACAAGUAUACCUAUUUCUUAAUGAUGGUCAAAAGAACACAAACAUAACAUGUGUAAACUAUGUACCUAUAAAAUACCAACUGUUCCAUCCUCUACUCAAAUUUUCUCUUGGAAUCAAAGUAGGAGCUUCCUGAAACAAAAAGAAAAAAAAUUGAACAUCUGCCUUAUGUGGUAUGGACAGUUAAGGUUUAGGUGCAACACAUAGAAAACCUUACUUACCAAUAUUUCUAAGGUCUUGAUUGAACUAUUCACGAUGACCUUGCAUGUCAAUACCACCAUGAUACUUGUUACCUCAGGCUAGUCAUGGGAGGCAACAAUCUAAAUGGAAACCCCACAAUCACAAAUAUGCUACAAACUUAAACUAGAAUAUGUCAUUUCUAUUUACUAAAGAAAAUAAAUUUUAGGAAAUAAAUGGAAGGCCUUGAAUGAGAUAUUCAUGGUGAACUUGCCUACAAACAUUUCUCUAAUACCUGUCACCUUAGACCAGUUUUGGUAGGCAAUAACCUAAACGGAAACACCACAAAUCGAAAAAAUGUUACAAAUUUAUACUAGAGUGUGUACUUUCUAUUUAUCGAAGAAACCGAAGAAACUAAUUCUUAGAUAAGCAAUUGAAGGCCUUGAAAUACCUCUUCGCGGUGAUAUCGUGCACCAACAUCACCACGAUACUUGUGACCUUAGACUUGUUUUGGGAGGCAACAACUCAAAUGGAAAUCCCACAAAUCGCAAUCAUGUUACAAAAUUAAACUAGAGUAUGUACUUCCUAUUUACUGAAUGUAUUUGUGAUCACUUGGGAAUAAUCUUGUAUGGUGCCUCUUAUGGAUCACUAGGAAGGUAAUUGCUGAUUCUCAUUGUUUAACGCCUUCCAUGCCUGAAACAAGGAGUUAUAAUUAAUGAAUUAUGUGAGUAAUAGGCCGAUGACACGAAGCAUCGCUGGUCGUCAAAGCCCCUUCAAUAAAAGCCCUGAUCAACCCUGUCAUAAGCUUUAGAGAGGUAAAUCUUGCAUGCACAUUGAGAUGACAUCGCGUCUCGCCGUUGUUCAAAAUCCAUCACUACAUCGUUGACUACAUUCCAUGCCAUUCAUGCAAAUCACCCAAAAAAGCAAAUAAGCCAUAAAAUUGCAGUUGUUGUCUCACUUGCCCUAUGCGAACAACGUCGACGAUAUUAACCCAAUUGCUUUCAUAAAAGAGACACGCGUUUAAAACAACGCAAGAAAAAAAGGCUAUCAAUUCAAGGAAUAAAUGACCCGAAAAUUGGAAAUGGAUAAGCCCCCACAUUCUCUUCUCUCCUCUUUGCAGCCAUGUUAUAUGAGAAGGGGCCAAAAUAGAAGUAAAAAACAUAAAAGAGAAAAUGUUGAUAGAGCCGAGUUUGUCUCCAUUACCAACAACUCAACAAUAGAUCAUCACGUUCAUGGCGAACUAUACUUACUUGCACCAUCAUCCUGCUUGUCACAAUGAAUGUUUUUGAUGUUUAUACAAAAAAAUGUAUAAAUACUAUAAGUUGUGGUAACUUUAUAAUAUUUACAAAAUAUUAUUUUGUGUGUGCCUGCGCGCGCACAUGUGUAUAUAUAUAUAUCUCUGUGUGUGUGUCAUGGUAUCCGAGAUAAAAUCAGGGUUUUCAGCUUAUCAGAAAAAAAAUUUAGAAUUGAAGCCCUAGAUCUUUGACCUAGAAAAAGUAUUGAGAUUUUAAAUUUUCUGAACUUAUAGAUAUGCUAAACAUGAACCCCAUGCACCCCGAAUCACUUGAAAUGGUAAGACACAUAAAACUUCCAUCUCAUAUCCUUGCAUAAAAAACAAUGUUAGUAAAUAGAUACAAUAACGCACUAGAGAUACUCCAAUGUAAAUCAAACAAUUAGAAACAUGAAAAAAUCUUAAAGUUUCUGUUGGUUACUUCAGGCUCUGGUAGAAUAUCCCACAAAGCACGUGCUUAUGAGUAUAGUACACACGAGAAACUGUCAAAAAAUACGUGAAAUAUGAUAGAACAUGUGAUGGGAGUUAAGAACCUCAGUCAAAGUUGAGCACUAUGUAGCUAGUAUUUUAACCCAUAUCCGAGAGAGUGGCGGAUCCACGAAGGAAAUGUCCGUGUGCACACUCCUAAAAAAAUCUACCUAAUCCAAGUGUUAUAGAAUAUUUGGCAAGAAACACAAAUAUCUUAAUCAAGCCGAACAACAUUAUAAUUUACAAAGUAUUCCAAAAUUGCAAAUACAAAUAUUCUUACAUUAAAGAUACACAUAAGUAGAAAACUAUAACACUAAGUAACUCUACGAUGUUUGUUCAUGAUGACCAUCAUUAUGUCAUCCUCACUUAAUUUCAAGAACACAUCUGACUCAAUAAAUGUCACUAAAUAAUAGUUUAUGAGAUCAUCACCCAUGUUAUGUCUCAACUUGUUAUUCACCAGAUUCAUUGCCAAAAAAUAAUGUUUAAAUACUCAUCGUGUCCAUCGGUAAGAUCAAUACCAAUUUGAUAAGAAAGUAGACCAAACCAUAGAGAAGACGCCUUUUUGUUUCAACAAGCAUAAUAGAGAGCUCAAUAAUAUUGCGCAUUGAUCAGUAUCUAACAUUUUGUCACAUAUCAUGUAUAAAAGCAGCAAGUUGGAAUUCAAGCAUUACCAAAUCCAGCCUUGAUAUGUCCUUGGAAUAGAAUUUGGUAAGUUCCAUUACCUGAGUAAGGAAGCUAGAGCCGAGAUAGAAGUUUAGAAGGCGGGUGAGGACGGAAGGGAGACAUAGAUGGAGAGGCAUCUAGCCAGAAGGGUAGCUUGCCAGGAGCUGACAAUGGCGAGGUGGGAAGGUUUGGGAUCAGCAAGACUAUCAUUUUCGUCUUACAAUGCUCUCCUAAUGAUGGAGAUGGGCGGUGAAGCGGCAAAUGGAGGAGAGGGGCAACAACCGACAAGGGGAGGUCAAGAACAUCGGAGGGGAGAGGCGCGUGCAGUCGUGUGACUGCGCGAGGGUCUCUCUCUCUCUCUCUCUCUCUCUCCUGAUGUUCACGCUUGAGCACAAGACUAGGAGGAAGACACCUACUUGGCUGAGACAAUGGGGGCCCUAGACAACCCUUUGGGGCCAAAAACUAGUAUAUAGUUAAAAAAAUCUUGAUAUUUUGGGUGGGCGACAGCCCAUCGUGCCUACGUUGGUUGUGCUAGUGACUGAGGCAUGUACAAAUCUAAUCUACGUUGUUUCAACAUUCUUGUUUGAACUAUAGUAAUAAUUCACAGUUCAUUUCCAUGAAGAUAUACAGAAUCAAUGUUCUCUACACAAGACACCAUGAAAUCAUGUUUACAAAUNNNNNNNNNNNNNNNNNNNNNNNNNNNNNNNNNNNNNNNNNNNNNNNNNNNNNNNNNNNNNNNNNNNNNNNNNNNNNNNNNNNNNNNNNNNNNNNNNNNNNNNNNNNNNNNNNNNNNNNNNNNNNNNNNNNNNNNNNNNNNNNNNNNNNNNNNNNNNNNNNNNNNNNNNNNNNNNNNNNNNNNNNNNNNNNNNNNNNNNNNNNNNNNNNNNNNNNNNNNNNNNNNNNNNNNNNNNNNNNNNNNNNNNNNNNNNNNNNNNNNNNNNNNNNNNNNNNNNNNNNNAGAGAGAGAGAGAGAGAGAGAGAGAGAGAGAGAGAGAGAGAGAGAGAGAGAAGAGCGCCAAACUAGUCGAUGCCGAACAAGUGCAGCUUUCCUACGUGAGAAUAGCAUAACAGAUCAAGACUUCAUACUAUUGAACAAGACAAUAUUCAAAACACACAAUGUUAGGUAAGAGCAUGCUUAUGUGCAACAAAUGUUGUUUAUAAGAGACGACAUGCAAUCAGUAGUGAACUUGUUACCGUCUCCCAUCACGUGGUAACACACAUGAUGGCUUGUCCCCUGCGUUUGAUAACUUCACCAUUUCUUAAGAUGAUAUCAUGAAGAAGAAACUAAUACGUGUAGUGAGUGCCAGUAACAUUACCUUGAUCCUAACAUGGUAGCAUAGGAAGAAAUCAAAUUCUGUUGGGUGGCAGAUCUGCCUAUCUACCAACGUGCCUACAAUUUUAUAGAAAUAUGUGACAAAAACCAUCUUGUAUGUAUGAAUUAGACAUUUUGCCAAUGUGCCUUCUGAAAUGACCUGGUAGAACAUUUCCACUCCUAGUAUUUGCCAUCACUUGGGAAUAGUGUCGUAUGGUGCCUCUUCUGCAACCAUAUCAAGGAUAUUUGCGGCUUCUCGACGUAUAACACCUUCCAUGCCUUUAACACGAGUUAAAAUUAAUGAAUUUCAUUACUAGUAGGCUAAGGACGUAGACCAUCCUUGGUCAUAAAAUUAAUUAGUAGGACCUUUUCUACCUCGUAGAUUUCCUUAUUGAAAACAUGUAUGAUCUGACCCUCACUUAUGCCAUCUGUCACGACUAAAUGAAACAAGUAUAACUAUUUUGGAACGACGAUCAAGAGAACAGAAUAAGAACACAUGUGAAUAUGAACCUAUAGGAUAUGAGUUGUUGAAUCAUUUUCUUGGGUUUCCUCUUAGAAUGAAAGUAGGAGAUUCCUCAAAGAAAAUAAUAAACAACUGCCUUACGUGGUAUGGACAUUUAAAAUUAUAGCAAUUCCAUUUCUACCCCUAACUCGAACCCACCACUCACAUUUACCCAUAAUUUUCAAAGAAAAGGGAAAAUAGUAAACAACUGCCUUACAUGCUAUGGACAUUUAAAAUUAGAACAAUUCCAUUUCUGCCUUACAUGCUUAGUUCAAGAAUGUCGCACGGGAUUAUGAGCAAUCUUAAUAGCACUUUCAUUGUCACAAAGCAAUGGAACAUGUUUCACAUAUAUGCCAUAAUCUUUAAGAGUUUUGGUCAUCCAAAGUAAUUGAACACAACAUGAACCGACGGUAAUGUAUUCUGCUUCGGCGGUGGAUAAGGAUACUGAGUUUUGUUUCUUGGAGGACCAAGGCACAAGAGAUCUACCAAGAAAUUGACAAGUACCCAAAGUGGACUUUCUAUCAACCUUGUCACCGGCAUAAUCCGAGUCGGAGUAGCCAACAAGAUCAAAAGAAGACCUCUUAGGACACCAAAUGCCAAAGUUUGGUGUGUGAGUUAAGUAUCUCACUAUCCUUUUCACAGCCUUAAGAUGACAUUCUUUGGGGGCCACUUGAUAUCGUGCACACAUGCACACACUUAGCAUAAUAUCGGGACGGGAGGCACAUAAAUAUAACAAUGAACCAAUCAUAGAGCGGUAAACCUUUUGGUCAACCGGUUCGCCAUACUUUGUCAAGUCAAGAUGUCCACUAGUAGGCAUGGGUGUACUCAUACCUUUGCAUUCUUGCAUGUUUAACUUCUUGAAUAAGUACUUGGUAUACUUUUUUUGAGAAACAAAGGUACCCUCCUUAGUUUGCUUGAUUAAAACCAAGAAAGAACUUGAGUUCACUCAUCAUAGACAUCUCAAACUUCUCCGACAUUAGCCUUCCAAACAUUUCACUAAAAUGGGGGUUAGUCGAACCAAAUAUGAUAUCAUCCACAUAAAUUUGGCACACAAAUAAUUCACCAUUAACCCUUUUAUUAAAAACUGUAGAAUCAAUUUUACCAAUUUCAAAGCCUUUUUCAAUAAGAAACUUUGUCAAGCAUUUAUACCAAGCUCUAGGAGCUUGUUUAAGAUCAUAAAGAGCUUUGUGAAGUUUGUAAACGUGAUCGGGUUUCUUAGGAUGAACAAAGCUGGGAGGUUGUUUAACAUAGACUUCCUCCUCAAUUUCACAAUUUAGAAAAGCACUUUUAAUGUCCAUUUGAUAUAAAGUGAUAUCAUGAUGAUUAUCAGCUUACGGCCAAGAUAUCCUACAGAUUACUUUAGUGCAUUCAAGAUUAGUGACGGAUGCUUAAUAGCGCAAGACUGGACCAAAUAUGUGAUGGGGGAGCGCAGAGAAGUACUAGGGGCAGCAAACAGAUGCGCUACCCACGAUUAGGAGACAGGUUCAUCUACAUGCUUCAGUUUGAUCGAGGAGGAGAGCUAUAUAUGUUUUAUGUUAUUUUACCUAAGAGAGAGCAGCAGGAGUGAUUAGCUAGCUAGAAAUGAGUUUGAGGAUGAUGAUGUGCUACACUAUUACUAUGAUGAUAAAAUAGCUAGUGUUGGUGGUAAUGACUAUGAUGAUUAUUAUUAGCUAGUGUUAGUGCUGAUUAAAUAAAUACUGUUGGUGGUAAUGACUAUGAUGAUGAUUAAAUAGCUUGUGUUGGCGGAUUAGAUUCAAGUGGAGGCAACAUGUGGUGCACAUCGAAAGUACUACUAGUCCAAACUAGAUCAAGUUUGGAUUAGUAGUAUACUUUUGACAUGCACCACAUAUUGCCUCCACUUGAACCUAAUCCACCUUCAUUUAAUACACUGUUAUGGACAUAAUGAUGUAAACCUCAUAAUAGCUGGUAUUGUACCAAUAUUUGUAUGAUGGCGCAUAAAUACACUAAAAAUAAAAAAAAUAAAAAAAAAUUACUAGUAGCGAUGGAAAGAAAACACGCUGCAAGUAGAUACCUUAGCAGUAGCGUGGUACUGAACAAACGCUGCGGCUAUUUGUCCUAACAGUAGCGCGUGCUGGCACGCGUUACUGCUAAGCAAUAGCUGUAGCGCCUUAUUAGUAGCGCGGCCACCCGCGCUACUAGUGGGCACAAAACACGCGCUACUACUAGGGUUUUCCCUAGUAGUGCUAGUGCACCUAUACAAUUUACCAUUGUAUUGGGUGUGUUGGGGACACAAGAGACUCUUUGUUAUUUGGUUGCAGAGUUGUUUGAGAGAGACCAUCUUCAUCCUACGCCUCCCAUGAAUUGAUAAACCUUAGGUCAUCCACUUGAGGGAAAUUUGCUACUGGCCUACAAACCUCUGCACUUGGAGGCCCAACAAUGUCUACAAGAAGAAGGUUGUGUAGUAGACAUCACAUCGCUGGUCAUCAAAGCCCCUUCAAUAAAAGCCCUGAUCAACCCAGUCAUCAGCUUUAGAGAGGUCAAUCUUGCAUGCACAUUGAGAUGACAUCGGGUCUCACUGGUGUUGAAAAUCCACCAUUGCAUCGUUGACUACAUUCCAUGCCAUUCAUGCAAAUCACCCCAAAAAGCAAAUAAGCCAUAAAAUUGCAGUUGUUAUCUCAUUUGCCCUAUGCAACAACGUCGAUGAUAUUAACCCAUUUGCUUUCAAAAAAGAGACACGCGCCUAAAACAACGCAAGAAAAAGGCUGUCAAUUCAAUGAAUAAAUGACCCAAAAAUUGGAAAUGGUUAAGCCGCACAUUCUCUUCUCUCCUCUUUGCAGCCAAGUUAUAUGAGAAGGGUAAAAAAUAGAAGUAAAAAACAUAGAAGAGAAAAUGUUGAUAGAGCCCUUUGUCCCCAUUACCAACAAAUCAACAAGAGAUCAUCACGUUCAUGUUGAACUAUACUUACUUGCACCAUCAUCCUACUUGUCACAAUGAAUGUUUUUGAUGUUUAUACAAAAAAAAGUAUAAAUACUAUAAGUUGUGGUAACUGUAUAAUAUUUAGAAAAUAUUAUUUUGUGUGUGCAUGCGCGCGCGCAUGUGUGUGUGUGUGUGUGUGUGUGUGUGUGUGUGUGUGUGUGUCAUGGUAUCCGAGAUAAAAGCAGGGUUUUCAGCUUAUUAGAAAAAUUUAAAAUUGAAGCCCUAGAUCUUUAACCUAGAAAAAGUAUUGAAAUUUUAAAUUUUCUUAACCUAUAGACAUGCUAAACAUGAACCACAUGCACCCCGAAUCACUUGAAAUGGUAAGACACAUAAAACUUCCAUCUCAAAUCCUUGCAUAAAAACUAAUGUUAGUAAAUAGAAACAGUAAGGCACUAGAGAUACUCCGAUGUAAAUCAAACCAAUAGAAACAUAACAAAAUCUUAAAGUUUCUGUUUGUUACUUCAGGCUCUGGUAGAAUAUCCCACAAUGCACGUGCUUAUGAGUAUAGUACACACGAGAAACUAUCAAAAAAUACGUGAAAUAUGAUAGAACAUGUGAUGGGAGUUAAGAACCUCAGUCAAAGUUGAGCACUAUGUAGCUAGUAUUUUAACCCAUAUCCGAUAGAGUGGCGGAUCCACGAAGGAAAUGUCCCCGUGCACACUCCUAAAAAAAUCUACCUAAUCUAAGUGUUAUAGAUCAUUAGGCAAAAAACACAAAUAUCUUAGUCAAGCUGAACAACAUUAUAAUUCACAAAGUAUUCCAAAAUUGCAAAUACAAAUAUUCUUACAUUAAAGAUACACAUAAGUAGAAAACUAUAACACUAAGUAACUCUACAAUGUUUGUUUAUGAUGAUCAUCAUUAUGUCAUCCUCACUUAAUUUCAAGAACACAUCUCACUCAAUAAAUGUCACUAAAUAAUAGUUCAUGAGAUCAUCACCCAUGUUAUGUCUGAACUUGUUAUUCACCAGAUUCAUUGCCAAAAAUAAUGUUUCAAUACUCAUCAUGGCCACCGGUACGAUCAAUACCAAUUUGAUAAGAAAGUAGACCAAACCAUAGAGAAGAUGCCUUUUUGUUUCAACAAGCAUAAUAGAGAGCUCAAUAAUAUUGUGCAUUGAUCUGUACCUAACAUUUUGUCACAUAUCAUCUAUGAAAGUAGUAAGUUGGAAUUCACGCAUUACGAAAUCCAGCCUUGAUAUGUCUUUGGAAUAGAAUUUGGUAAGUUUCAUUACCUGAGUAAGGAAGCUAGAGCUGAGAUAGAAGUUUAGAAGGCGGGUGAGGACGGAAGGGAGACAUAGAUGGAGAGGCAUUUUAGCGAUAUUCUUCUCCAGGCGCCAGGCUUGUUUAAUUGUGGAGGGAUAAAGACGAGGCAGUAGAACAUGUGCCAUUUCAGUUCAUCUUUAUCUCAAGAAGUAGGCUUCAUCACACAAAUAGUUGGAGUCGCACUACGAGAGCUUACCUCUGACACCUUGUCUAUGCCCUAGCUUCAGAGAAUCAAGCAUAGAACAAAAGUUUAUGACCAUAGUACAUAGAAGGAGCUUUCAAAAUACAAGCGAAUCAUGUUAGAACAUGCGAUGACAGUUACAAACCUCAAUCAAAGUUGAGCACUAUGCAACUAGUAUUGUAACACAUGUCUUAGACAGGCACAAUUCUAAUUUCAAUUUAAUCUCUAAUAAUAAAAAUUAUAGUUUAUCUCUGUGAAGAAAUACAUAAUCAAUGUUAUCUGCACGAGACACAUGAAAUUAUGUUCAUGAAGCCCUUCCCAGGAUGUGAUAGAACUGAGAAGAAAGACUGCCAUGCCAGUCGACACCGAGCAAGUACAACUUGCAUACAUGAGAAGAACAUAAUAGAGCAAGAUAACAUGCUAUGGAACAGAAAAAUAUGCAAAACGCACAAUGCGGGGUGCCCGACAGAGCAUGCUUACAUGUGGCACAUGUUGUUUGUAAGAGACUGGAGGGCAUCUAUGGUAAAUGUGCAUGACGGUUUGUCCCCAACAUUUUAUAAGUUCACCAUUUGUUUAGGUGAUGUCAUCAAGAAGAAACUACUACAUGUAAUGAAUGUUCCACUAACAUUACCUUGAUCCCAGCAUGGCUGCAUGUGUGCAUAGGAAGAAAUCACACUUUAUUUGGUGGCUAAUAGGUUGAGGACACAGAGCAUCGUUGGUCAUCAAGUAACACCUUUUCUGUCUUCAAUAUUUACCUCUCCAAAACCUGUCUGAACUGACCCUCAAAUACACCAUCCUUAGAAACAAAAGAAGGAACAAAAACACAU
RNAcentral lists this long non-coding RNA (49415 nucleotides) under Triticum aestivum (bread wheat). RNAcentral describes it as "long non-coding RNA (TAES_LNC002537)". The stretch from base 4781 to 4928 matches the Rfam family "mir-172 microRNA precursor family". Lineage: Eukaryota; Viridiplantae; Streptophyta; Magnoliopsida; Poales; Poaceae. The record is from RNAcentral.